CACACACAACUAGUUAGGAAAAAUGCUUUCUUUUCUAGUGCCUCAGUUUUACUUUUUGUGAGGUUUUUCAUGUUAAUACCAACUGUAUUAUUAUGUUGAAUCUGUUUCUGUCUCUGAACCAUGUUUUCUGAUACGAUGAAUUGGAAGGUUGGCUUUCAAGACAACAAUAAAUCUGUUGUCUAACACAGUCUUCUCAGAGGAUUUCAUUCAGUCUGCUGAAAAAGCAGGGGAGAUGAAGGAGUUGGUGGCCAACAUCAUGAAAGAGGUUGGAAGGCCAAAUUUGGCUGAUUGUUUCCCAGUGUUGAAGGUGGUUGACCCUCAUGGCAUCAGAAGACGCACAGGAACCUACUUUUGGAAGCUUUUGAACAUCUUCAAGUGCUUGAUUAACAAAAGGUUGGAACAGAGAAAAGAUGAUGCUGGUUACUGCACCAAAAAUGACAUGUUGGAGGUCAUGCUCAACAAUGCUCCACAACACACUUCUCAAGAGAUGAACAUAGUUAAGAUUCAACGUUUGUCACUGGUAUUUCCCUUUUCUGCACUUUUUUUUUCUCUAAUUAAGCUUUCCUAAAUGUUCAAUCCAUGUUACUUUUUCAUCUGCAGAAGAAAAUAUUGAAUGAAUAUGCAUAUGUUUUAUCAUAAUAAAUAUAUGAAGACAACUUUUAUAUAUAUAUAUAGACAACUUUUUCAUCUGCAGUACUGUUGUAAUACUCUGCAAUCAUAUUUAAUGUUUUCUUUUUUAAUAAGUGAUGCAUUUAAUAAAAUAAAACAUAAAAUUUGAUUGAAAAAUCAUACCAAAGGUUUCCUUUUUGAGAAAAAAAUGAGACAUGUCUGUACUAUAGUUUUAUGAUAAAUACAAGAAAAAUAAUAAAAUAUUUUUAUUCGUAAAUUAGAAUUAACUUGUACACGUCCACAAGUUGAACAAAUUUAAAUUGAAUUUUUUAAUAAAUUAGUUUUUAUAUAAAUAAUAUUACAAAAAAAUUAUUAAAUAAAAACAAAUUUUAAAUACUAAAAUAAUUAGUUAUUAUUUGACUAAAUUAAAGAUCAUUUUAUAAAUUAAAAAAAAUUAUUGAUAUCUAAAGUAUUUUUUAUUAAUAAUAAAAGUUUAUAAAAUAAUUUUGAAAUUAAUAUAUAAUCUUUAACUACCAAGAUUUUUACUACUUACUACUUUAUAUUAUAAAUUAGUCUUUUUUAAUAUUUUAAAUAUCAAUUUAGAAUUUAAAAUAUUAAUAACUAAAAUUCAAUAACUAAUUUAAAUAUUAAUUUAGAAACUAUUUUAUAAAUUUUUAUUGAUAAUAGAAACAAAUUUAUAUAUUAAUAAUUUUUUAAUCUUUAAUUAAUAUCUAAAUUAGUUAAUAUAAUUACUAAUUAUUUUUAAUAUAAGUUUUAAAUUAAUCUGUCAAAUCAAUCAUUAUACAAAUCAUGCUUGGUGAUGAUUUUUCUGAUAUUUUUUAACCAAUGGUUUGCCUUACCUUCACAUGAACAUUGGAUUGGUAGUGAAAAUGACAUCAAGAAAAUGAAAUGAAAAACAAGGUGGACCCAAACUGCAUGUGAAAGUCAUAUAUGCUGACAAGUUUUGUAAUCCUAAAGGAUAUUAUGUUUUGUCAAUACAAAUGUAAAAGAUCUGAACAUUAUGGUGAUUGAGAACUGAUACAUUCAAUCACUCUACAAUUUCAUCUAUUUGUUUAGAAUUGUAGUUUUCUUUGUCAAUGAAAUGACAAAAAGUACUUUUUAUUAGUAUCAUGAAUAAACAGAUUAUAUACUAGCAGUUGUUAUUCACACAUCAUUAUCAAAUUAAAUACGUAUAAUGUGUUGUCAGGAUUUGUUUGCGGCAGGAACUGAUACAGUAACAACCACAGUAGAAUGGGGCAUGGCUGAGUUACUUCGCAACCCAAAUGUUAUGUCAAAGGCAAAAGAAGAGUUGGAGAAGUGUGUUGGAAAAGGUAAGAUUGUGGAAGAGUCACACAUACCCAAACUCCAUUAUUUGCAAGCAAUAGUGAAGGAGACUUUCAGACUGCACCCUGCAGUGCCACUUUUACUGCCUAGAGAAGCUGAAGAGGAAUUGGAGAUGCAUGGCCACACAAUUCCAAAGGGUGCACAAGUGUUGGUUAAUGUGUGGGCCAUAGGGAGGGACCCUAAUUUGUGGGACAAGCCUGCUUUGUUUUGGCCUGAGAGAUUCCUGGGAUCAGAAAUUGACUUUAGAGGAAGAAGUUUUGAGCUAACUCCUUUUGGGGGUGGGAGGAGAAUAUGCCCUGGAUUGUCUUUGGCCAUAAGGUUGGUGUUCUUGAUGUUGGGAUUGUUCAUCCAUUCCUUUCAUUGGGAGCUUGAGGGUGGGAUUCAACCACAGGAUAUCAACAUGGAUGAAAGUUUUGGACUAACCUUGGAGAAGGCUCAACCUUUGUUAGUUAUUCCAAUCACACCAAACUAAUAGUUAUCUGGUAUGCUAAAUUCUCAAAGUGUUAGAAUUGUCAGAAAUUUUAAAAAAAAAACAAUUGAACAUUUUAUCGAUAUGUAUUUUAUGAAUGUCGUACACGUAUUAGUGUCUGGUACGUAUGUUUGAUAUGGAUACUUCAUAUAAGAAACGUGUCCCAAACUUCAUAAUCUGAUAGUAGUAUGUUGACACACUCUCUCUCAACGCACUUUUAACUAUUCUCAAUAUACAAUUUUUAAAAUAAGUAUAUAAGUGUUAAAUAAAUGUUUUCCUUAAUUAUCUCUUCAAGAUUCUAAUAAUAGAAUUUUGUAUAAUUUAUUGGAUUUUGAAAUAUUAACACCUUCAACAGUGAAAACACACACUUUACACUAGGAUAAAUUAGUAUUUUAUUCAUUUUUAUUUUAUUUUUUAAUUUAAAAGUAUUAUUAUAUUAUUAUAAUUGUCAAAUGUAUAUUUUUUUAGGGUUCAUGGUGUGAAGAAAAUGAAUAAUAUUUCCUCUCAUGGUUAUUUGUAAAGUUAAUCGCAUCUUUUGGAACAUAAUAAUUGGAGAAAUUAUUAUGUGAUUUAAUUUUAAAUAAUACGGAGUUAAAUGUUACUAAUUUUAUUUCUAAAAACUAAAAAAAUUAAGUAGUUGUCUCAUAAAAAUUAUCAAAUCCAUAAAUUCAAACUCAUCUAGUAUUAGUAUAUGAUAAAAUUUUCAUACUUUAAUAUACUUAAGGAUCUAAAUUUUUUAGGUUACAGUCAUCUUGUGUCAAUAUAAGGUAACAAACAAACAAAAAAUAAAAUUUUUGCCAAUGCAAUUUAUAACUAAAACAGUAAACUUUAUUCAUUUAUAAUAAAUAACAUUUAUUUUUACAAAACUCUAAAUGAGAUUAUUUUUUAACCCAAACCUAAAUUUUCGUACCAAGGAAACAAUUUUUCAAUCUAGAAUUCACAAAUUGUUAAUUGUGUACAUAGAGAUCAAGAGUAAAACAGAGCAACUUGUGUACAUAGAGAAAAAUGUGUUAAAUAUAUAAGUAAUAACAGAUUACCCUUUUAAAUAUUUUCUCUAAAUUAAAUAAAAUAAUAAUAUUAAUAUGAUAUUUAAUAUAAUUUUUAAAAUCAAAAUAAGUUAUGAUAACGUAUAAAAAUAGAGAAUGGGUUAAAUGCAACAUUCAUAAUUCUAAAACUUACAUAUAUAUAUAUAUAUAUAUAUAAAUAUAGAGAUAAUUAUUAUCUGAAUUAUUUCUCUAAAUCAAACAUGUGAUAAUAAUAAGAAUUUAAAUAAUGUUUUUUUGUUUUUUUUUAAUAGUAUUUUUUUUUCAUGUGAUGACAGAUGAUUAUUGUUACUUGAGGUGAGGUGUCAGCCUAGUUGAGAUGUCAAGUUGCAUAAUGAUACCUAACAUGAAAAUUUUUAUAAAAAAAAAUCAUAUUUUUUGAGUGAUAAUAAUAAGAACUUAAAUCAUGUUUUUUUAAGUGAUAAUAAUAAGAAAGAUAAAAUUAAAAGAUAUCGCAAAUAUUUUUUAGGCUUAAUUAAAUUUUAAAUCGUUGAUAAAUUUAGAUAUUUUUAAUUGAGUUUCUAUUAAAUUUUAUUGGUUUAAUGAGUAUUAAAAAAUCUAUAUUUUUAAUUGAGUUUGCAUUGUUUAAUUUUUUUUUAACUGAGUGAUCUAAUAGGUAAUAAUCGUCUUAAAUAUUAUUGGACUCUAAUUCCUUACCCAACUUUGAAUUCAAAAUAAAGUGUUGAAAAGUUAUUUCUUUCAAAAUUAUUUUUAAUACUUUUUAAGUAUUUUAGUAACUCAAUAAUUGAUUAUGUUGGUUGAACUCUCUAAUAGAUAUGUUUUCUUAUUUCUAUUUUUAGUAAAAAAACAAAAAGUGAACCUUAUGGAAAAAAUUUAAGAUUGUUUUUUAUUCACUACAAGAAUUAUGAUAAUUAUUCAGUGCAAAUAUUUUUAACUAAAGCGUAAGCUAAACUCAUGCAAAAAGGUUUUAUUUUUUUUAUUCCAUAAGCGUUGAUUUAAACACUUUAAAAAUCAACAUACUAUUGUCUCAUUUUAAAGUCAACACUAACUUAUAUAACUUUUACCUUUUAAAAAUUAGUUUUUUAUCAACACAAUUUGAAUGUAAUAACGUCCCUUUUUGCUAACUUUUGAUCAAAUUUUGUUAGUUAUUAUGGUAAAAAAUUAAUUAUUUAAUUAUCAAUUUAUGAAUAAUAAUAAAAUAUGAAAUGUAAAUAUAUGUGAAUGUGUAAUUUUCGAGUAAAUAAAAAUAUUAAUUGUAGAUUAGUAUUUUACAAAAUUUUGUAUAUUAAUAUUUUUUAAGCCAUUAUAUAUGAUAUUGGAAUUUGUGGUCAUCGUUAUUGACCUAAUAUUUUAAUUUUCUUGGAAUUUGUGGUCAAUAUUGUAACACUCGAUUUUCUAUCCUAAUACAUAAACUUUUACCGUCACAAUAAUUAAAAAGUCCAUAAAUUUUUAAAACUUUUGAAAAAAUCAAAGCCAUUAUUUAAGUGGCUACUUCAUAAAAAAAAUAUAUAAAUAACCACUUAAAUGAUGAGUUUAAAAAAUAAAAAUUAUCAUUAAAAUGACUGUUAUAAAAAAAAUAAGUCAAUUAAAUAAUAUUUUUUUUUAAUGAAGUCAACUCACUAACGAUUUAUUCAAAUCCCUAACUUUUUUAAGAAAAUUACUCAUUUAAGAACUUACAUAAACAAAUUUUAUAAAAAGCUCACACAUUCAUGUUAGUUUUGAUCAAGUCAUUAAGUCUCUCUUUAGAUUUGCUCAUUAUAAAAGAAGAAAAUAUAUAAUUUUUUAAUAUAUAAAUACUUUUUUAUUUUAUUUUUAAAUUCUUAUUUAAUUUAAAAUUUGUUACCUUUAAUUUGUAUUUCUAAAAUUUAUUAAAAAAAUACUUUUUAAAUAUAAUAUCAAUUACAAAUUUUUCACUUUUUCACUCUUUUUCUUUCUUUUUUUCUUCUUUCCUUUUUCACACCCUUUUAAUCCAAACUUUUCAAUUUUCAUUUUUUCUUUUUUCUUUUCUUUUCCAUACCCUUUUGAGGGAGAGGAUAAAUCAAGAAAAGAAAAAUUAUCAAGUCGAUUUAGUGAAAAAAAAAACAAAAACACAAACGAAUUAAAUAAAGUAAACACAUUAGAAGAAGGCUUUAAACCAAUUUUAUGGUCCCUACCUACACCAUAUUUAAUAAGUACAGUGAUAAACAUGCAUGCUUUUGUACACACCAUAAUUAAACAAUUAAUAUUUGAUUAUAAUUAACAAGAAUUGAACUAGGAGUUUGAGUUAGGAAGUAAUAGAAAUGAAUAACCAUGUUCUUACCUUCUUUCCAUAAGUUUAAGAAUGUUAAUCAAGUGGAUAUGCUCAAUAGGAAAUGUAAAGUUACUUUUUUUUUGUAUUUAAGAAUUAUUAUUCUGAUACCAAAAUAUUCAUCAGGCUCACAUGAUCAAAAUCAUUUAGAAAGAUUUUUUUUUAUUGUGUGGGUAGAUUUUUGUUUUUAAUAUGCUAAAUGGUUACUGUAACAUUUAUUGGACACAUAAUGGUUCUGAUAUAUGUCUUUAAGACAUAAAUUUGCCAAUUCAGUGUAUGGUCAAAAGUUUGAGACUUCUCAAUGAUCAUCAUUUUUUCUUCUUAAACUUGUUUUUUGGUCUUAAUCCUAGGACACUUUGCCCUUAUGUUUUCUGAUCUUCUGUAUUAUGGCAAAUUAACUUUAAAUUGUCUUUAUCCUUUUUCUUUUUUUUUUUAAGUUAACCUUCUUCUUUUUUUGAAUUUUUUUUAUUGCAUUGACUCUUGCAUCUAAGCAUGUGCUUGUUCUGGACAUCAUUCUCCUUGUCUAGAGCUUUUAAAGCCCCAAUUUUUCUUGUAUCUUAUUCGAGUCUACUUUGAAGUAAAUUUGACCGGUAAAUUAAGACCUCAUUUUAAUCACGAUUUCGAGGAUAUAUUCUAUGCAUUUUUUAGAUUCACAAGAGCUCACAUGGGGUAUUGAUUUAUGCCUUUAAAAAACUUUUAAAAGAACCUAAAUUCUUCCAAACAUGUUGGAGAUAAUCUCACUAUUUUUCAUGGUGAAUGACUCAUACUAUCGCGUGAGGGUGAUAACUCUCAACUGAACAUCCUCGUUUUCUUCAUAGUUGAUAUUGGGAGAAUCCCAUACCUCUAGUCAUUUUUAUAUAAAAGUUUUCAUAUUAAGUAUCACUAUGCAACUUGAUAUCUCAGUUAGGUUGACACCUCAAGUAACAACAAUCAUCUGUCAUCACAUGAAAAAAUAUUGUUAAAAAAAUACAAAAAUAUGGGGGAACUAAACCAAAAAUAUAUGUUAACAAAAACGAUACAUAAAUAGACUAUACUUAUUCAUAAAGAAUUCUAAGAAACAGAAUAGAUGGAAGCCUAUUAUAUCACUGAAAUGAUUAUCUAUGAAUAAAUCAUAAAUUAGUCAACUUAUUAGCACACGUAUUCCCUUCAUGAAAUAAGUAACCCUAAAUCUGAUUUUCCCACAGUAAUUAAAACAAGUAUUACCUCUUUACCUAUUUUUAAAACUUUUUUAUAUUAUCUUUUCAUAAAACACAAAUAAAUGUGCACCUAACUUCAAUGUUUAAAUGCAUGUAGUUAAAGCUUUCUUACGUCUCUUCUGAAACAUUAAUCUUUAUCACUAUAAAAAAAUCAUGAAAUAGAAACAAAUUUUAGAGAUAAAAAAUAAUUAGUUGUUAUAGUGACUAAAUUAGAGACUAUUUUAAGGAUUAAAUAAAUAUUUGGUUUCUAAAUUAGUUUAUAUUAUUGUUAAAUGAUUUCUACUAAAAAAACGCGAUUUAUAUACAGAUUAUUACAUAGGAUCAAAAUCCGUAUGUAAAAUCAACAUUACAUACGGAUUAAAAUCUGUAUGUAAAAUCAACAUUACAUACGAAUUUUAUUCCGUAUGUAAAUAGAUAUUACAUACAAAUUUAGUUUCUAAAAUAAUAUUUAAUUUAGUUACUAUUGUAACUAAUUAUUUUAGUUUUUAAAAAUUAUUUAUAUUUAAUGAUUUUCUUGUAAUGUAUUCCUACUACAUAAAUUUGAUAUGCAUCUCCAUCUAUUUUUCAAAUAAGAGAAUCUUCCCUUAGAAAUGUGAAUGGCCAGGGAUAUCCCUCCACGGAUAAGGAUAAGAUGUCAAUGUUAGGACCUUAUCUGUAGUGCAAUACACACAAUUUUGGUUAAUUUAAACAUCCUUAUAUUCCCUCUUUUUUUCUUUCCUUUUUUAUUAACUGUUGUUUCCUGGUCCAAAACACCCUAAAAUAUAUUUUGUAUUAUAAUAAUAAAUUUACAACUCAUAUUUAUUAUAAUAUUAUUUUAAUAUUUUUUUAUAUCAUUUAAUUUUAAAUUUAUUAUUUAUCAUAUAUAUUUAUUUCUAAACUCUUUACAUAAUAAUNNNNNNNNNNNNNNNNNNNNNNNNNNNNNNNNNNNNNNNNNNNNNNNNNNNNNNNNNNNNNNNNNNNNNNNNNNNNNNNNNNNNNNNNNNNNNNNNNNNNCCAAAUUUGGCUGAUUGUUUCCCAGUGUUGAAGGUGGUUGACCCUCAUGGCAUCAGAAGACGCACAGGAACCUACUUUUGGAAGCUUUUGAACAUCUUCAAGUGCUUGAUUCACAAAAGGUUGGAACUGAGAAAAGAUGAUGCUGGUUACUGCACCAAAAAUGACAUGUUGGAGGUCAUGCUCAACAAUGCUCCACAACAUACUUCUCAAGAGAUGAACAUAGUCAAGAUUCAACGUUUGUCACUGGUAUUUCCCUUUUCUGCACUUUUUUUUCUCUAAUUAAGCUUUCCUAUAUGUUCAAUAAGAUUAAUGUGUGUGAUUUAAUUUUAGAUAAUGGUUGUCAAAAUAUCGUAACUUUAAAAAUUCUUAUUUUUUCUUAUCCUAUUCUUCCAUGUUACUUUAAAAAAAAUAUUAAAUGAAAUCCUAAAACACAUAUCUCACAUUUCAAUAAAUUAAUAUUUUAUUUAUUUUUAUUUUUAUUUUAUUUUAUUAUUGUAAAUUUAUGUUUUUAAUGGAAAUGGUAUUAAAGAAAAUAAAAAACAUGAUGGACCCAAACUGCAGUUUGGUACGACUUCAGGUUGAUAUGGUAGAAGUCGUGUCAAGUUGACACAACUUCAGAUUGAUGUGGUAAAGUCGUACCAACUUGACACGACUUCUACAUAUGAAGUUGUGCCAAGUUGAUAUGACUUCUCCCAAAUUUAUAAUUUUUUUUUACAACGACUCUAUUUUGGUAAAAAAAAAAAGUUCCAUAAUGAUAAAAAAUCCAUAUAUAAUGACAUCAAAACGUGUGUUUUGUGUUUGUCAGGACUUGUUUGCGGCAGGAACUGAUACCGUAACAACCACAGUAGAAUGGGGCAUGGCUGAGUUACUUCGCAACCCAAAUGUUAUGUCAAAGGCAAAAGAAGAGUUGGAGAAGUGUGUUGGAAAAGGUAAGAUUGUGGAAGAGUCACACAUACCCAAACUCCCUUAUUUGCAAGCAAUAUUGAAGGAGACUUUCAGGCUGCACCCUCCAGCACCACUUUUACUGCCUAGAGAAGCUGAAGAGGAAUUGGAGAUGCAUGGCCACACAAUUCCAAAGGGUGCACAAGUGUUGGUUAAUGUGUGGGCCAUAGGGAGGGACCCUAAUUUGUGGGACAAGCCUGCUUUGUUUUGGCCUGAGAGAUUCCUGGGGUCAGAAAUUGACUUUAGAGGAAGAAGUUUUGAGCUAACUCCUUUUGGGGGUGGGAGGAGAAUAUGCCCUGGAUUGUCUUUGGCCAUAAGGUUGGUGUUCUUGAUGUUGGGAUUGUUCAUCCAUUCCUUUCAUUGGGAGCUUGAGGGUGGGAUUCAACCACAGGAUAUCAAUAUGGAUGAAAGUUUUGGACUAACCUUGGAGAAGGCUCAACCUUUGUUAGUUAUUCCAAUCAUACCAAACCACUAAGUAUCUGGUAUGCUAAAUUCUCAAAGGGUUAGAAUUGUUAGAAAUUAAAAAAAUAAUAAUAAUUGAACAUUUAAUCGAUAUGUAUUUUAUGAAUGUCGUACACGUAUUAGUGUCUAGUACGUGUGUUUGAUAUGGAUACUUCAUAUAAGAAACGUGUCCCAAACUUCAUAAUCUGAUAGUAAUAUGUAACUAUGUUGACACAUUCUCUCUCUUAACACAUUUUUAAGCAUUUUCAAUAUACAAUUUUUAAAAUAAGUAUAUAAGUAUUAAAUAAAUGUUUUCCUUAAUUAUCUCUUCAAGAUUCCAAUAAUAGAAUCUUGUAUAAUUUAUUGGAUUUGAUAUAUUAACACCUCUGCGAAUAAUAGAAUCUUGUAUAAUUUAUUGGAUUUUGAUAUAUUAAUACCUCUGUGGUGAAAACACAACUUUACACCAUGAUAAAUUAAUAUUUUAUUUUUUAAUUUAAAAGUAUUAUUAUAUUAUUAUAAAUGUCAAAUGUAUAUUUUUUAGCGUUCAUGUUGUGAAGAAAAUGAAUAAUGGUUGUUCUCAUGGGUUAUUUGUGAAGUUAAUCGCAUCGAAGCAUAAUAAUUGGAAAAAUUAUUAUGUGAUUUAAAUAUAAUCUUGAUUAAUUUUUUCAUUAUACGGAGUUAAAUGUUACUAAUUUUAUUUCCAAAAACUAUAAAAAAAAAUUAGGUAGGUGUCUCAUAAAAAUUAUCAAAUCCAUAAAUUCAAAAUCUUAUUAGUAUAUGAUAAAUUUUCCAUACUUUAAUAUACUUGGGAUCUAAACUUUUUAGGUUAGAGUGAUCUUUGUGUCAAUAUAAGUAACAAACAAAAAAUAAAAAUUUUGCCAAUGCAAUUUAUAACUAAAACAGUAAACUUGAUUCAUUUUCAAUCUAGAAUUCACAAAUUGUUAAUUGUGUACAUAGAGAAAAAUGAAAAAAAUGUGUUAAAUAUAUAAGUAAUAACAGAUUACCAUUUUAAAUAUUUUCUCUAAAUUAAAUAAAUAAUAAUAAUAUUAAUAUGAUAUUUAAUAUAAUUUUAAAAAUUAAAAUAAGUUAUGAUAACGUAUAAAAAUAGAGAAUGGGUUAAAUGCAACAUUCAUAAUUCUAAAACUUAUAUAUAAAUAUAGAAAUAAAUUAUUAUCUAAAUUAUUUCUGUAAAUCAAACAUGUUUUUUUAUGCGAUAAUAAUAAGAAUAAUAAAGUUAAAAGAUAUCACAAAUAUUUUGUAGGCUUAAUUAAAUUUUAAACUGUUGAUAAAUUUAGAUAUUUUUAAUUGAGUUUCUAUUAAAUUUUAUUGGUUUAAUGAGUAUUAAAAAAUUAUAUAUUUUUUAAUUGAGUUUGUAUGGUUUAAUUUUUUUGUUAAUUGAGUAAUCUAAUCUUAUUUUUGUCCUGUCAUCUUGUUUAAUUAUUUUUACAUAUUUGUGUUAAUAUUAAAUGAUGUAGUUUUGUAAUUAACAUAACAAGUGACUUUGUUGGUUAAAGAUAAACGAAAAUGAAAAUGAAAGCAACAUGAAAACCUAAAUACAAUAUUGGAAGACGUUAGAACAAACAUGAAGUUAAACAACAUGAUUAUAACAAUAGAAUAAGGGUUAUGGUCAAACGUAAACAAGUUGAUUUUAAAUUUUGAAUCCUUCACAUGCAAAAAUAAAUAUAAAAUCCAAAAUUUUAUAACUUAAAUAUUAUACGAAAUCGAAAAAUACAUAAGAAGAAUAAAAGAACGUUUAUAAAAAUAAAAAUACAUAUAAUAUUAAAUUUUCUUUUAUAAUAAUUAUAUCUUUUAUAAUAAUAAAUUUAGUCAUAAAAUAUAUAAUAAGUAUGAGGGUAAAAAAUAAUAAUUAACAAAAUUAAAGGUAAUAAUUGUCUGGGUUCUAAUUCCUUACCCAAUUUUGUAUUCGUGUUGUAAAGUUAUUUAUUUUUAAUAGUAUUUUUAAUACUUUUAAAAAUAUUUUAGUAACUCAAUAAUUGAUUAGGUUGAACUCUCUAAAUUUUUUAGUAGGAAACAAAAAGUGAACCUUAUGAAAAAAAAUAUAAGAUUUUUUUUUUCACAUAAUAAUUAACUAUCGCAAAAUAGCUUCAUCCUACUUUAAUAUAAUAUGUUAAUAGAGUGGGUCACGCCUACAAAGCUUAACAUGAUACUAAAAAUUGAAAAAUAAAACAUAAAUAUAAUGAAUAAGUUUUAAAGUGACACAAAAAAGUAAACAUUGAAGUAAGAUUAACAUUAAUUAACAUAAAGAUAGUGUUGACGUAGUUCACACAAAGAUUAAUUUAUAGAAAAAAAUGAUUAAAAUGAAAAAUUAGAUAGGAAUUUAAAACUAAGAUUUAGAUUUAGAUUUAUAUUAGAUUAUGAUUUAUGAUUACCAUUACAAUGAUAUAUUGAAUUUGGAUUUUUGAAUUCAAUUCAAAAUAUAUAAUGAAUUUUGAUUUUUGAUUGAUAUAGAUAGUCACUUUAAAUAAAUUUUUAAACUAAGUUUUUGUUUUCUUAUUUAACAUGGGUCAAACCCUAUCUUCUAUCUGUGGAGUAAACCCUCUAAAAAAAUACAUUUUUUUGACAAGAUUUUAUUUAUUUAUUUUAUUUAUUUAAAAAACGUUGACUUAAUCCAUUAUAAAAUCGACACUAUUAUUAUCUCUUUGACACUAAAUUAUAUAACUUUCACUUUAAAAAUUAACUUUAAAUUGACACAAUUUGAACGUAAUAACACCUUAGCUUCCGUCUUUUUGCUCAACAUGGUAAAAAUUUAAUUAUUUAAUUAUUUAAUUAUCAAUUUAUGAAUAAUAAUAAAAUAUGAAAUGUAAAUAUCUGUGAAUGUGUAAUUUUCGAGUAAAUAAAAAUGUUAAUUGUAGAUUAGUAUUUUACAAAAUUUUGUGUACCAAUAUAUGAUAUUGGAAUUUGGAAUUUGUAGUCAUCGUUAUUGACCUAAUAUUUUAAUGUUCUUGGAAUUUGUGGUCAACGUUUUGAUCUAACGUUUUAGGUAAUUUCUUCCUCCACCAUAUCAAUUUCAGCAUGCACCCAAUCAACUCUAAAAAUGACAAAAAUACUCAUUUUAAAUGACGAAAAUAACCUUACACAAAAAUGGAAAAAUUAUUUUUGAAAUUUUUAUCUGAAAUAUUUUGGAUUUCAAUUUUCCAAACAUAUUUUUGAAUUUUGAAAUUUUUUAUCUAGAAUGUAUUUUUAGUUUUGUGUUCAGAAUUUUUUUCCAGCAUGUAUUUUUUUAUUUCUCAAUUAUAAUUAUUAUUUUAGAUUUUUUAAUUUGGAAUAAGGGUAGUUUUGGAAAUUUAAAAAAUUGAUUUGGUGGAGGUUAAAAAAUUGAUAUGGUGCAGGAGGAUAGUUUUGGAAAUUUAAAAAAUUGAUAUGGUGGAGGUUAAAAUUGAUAUGGUGGAGAAAGAAUUUGCCAACGUUUUAAUGCUGUAACGCUCCAUUUUCUAUCCUACUAAUUGGAAACUAUAAAACUUUAUAAUACAUAAACUUUUAGCCUCACAAUAAUUAAAAAGUCCAUAAAUUUUUAAAAUAUAUAUAUAUAUAUAUAUAUAUAUAUAAAGUAUACUCUUAUAUCAAAUAAGAUCAUGGCAACAAGCACAUAUAUAAAAAUAAGUAUAUAGGCAAAAUAAAAAUAUAUUUUUUUAUUAUCAUCAAUUAUAUGUAAUCAAACAUUAUGUCAUUAUUAGAAGUGAAACCUUCUUCAAAAUAAUCUAAAACUAUAUGAUAAACAAAUGUCACAUAAUUACACCAUCUAUCUAUUAAGGGAGUUAUGUGCCUUACAAACUCAUGCAAUUUUAUCAUUAAUCUUUAGAAUUCAUUUAAGUUAAAACAUAAAUACCAAGACACUAAGUAGCUUUUAUCAUUUAUGUAACAUAUAUAAUUAAGUAAUUAUGAAAUAAUUAUUAUUAAUAUUUUUUUAGAGUUUGUUUGAGUUGAAACAUAGAGUCAAAUAUAAAAAAUCAAAAUACUGGUCAAUUUUUUACAAUUUUAUGUAAUAUACAUAAUAAAGUAUUCAUAACUAUAAUAAAAUUAUUAAAUAAAUUUUUUUAUAGAUAAAAAAUAAUUAAUUAUUAUAUUGACUAAAUUAGAUAGUAUUUUAAAGACAACAAAAUUAUUGUAUCUAAAAUAAUUUUUAUUAUAAAUAAAUAUUUUUUAAAUUGGUAUUUAAUUAACUAACCAAUAGCUUAAACAUUGAUAACUAAUUAUAUUCAUUUAUAAAAUAUUUAUUAAUAAUAAAAAUUAUUUAAAUACUGAUAAUUAUUUUAAUUUUAAAAUAAUAUUUAAUUUAUUUAAAAUAAUGACUAAUUAUUAUUAUUUUAUCUAAAAUUAAUUUUUAUUUAAUGUUUUAUUUAAUGUAAAAUGAUUAUUCUAUUAUUAAUCAUUAAGUUAAAACAUAAAAAAGUAGAGCAUAGAAAGUCAAAGCACUAGUCAGUUUUUACAAUUUAUGUAAUAUAUACCUUAUAAAGUUAUCAUGGAAUUGAUUAUUAUAUCAUUAAUAUCCUUAAUUAUAAUUAUAAUUGAUUUGAGUUGAAACAUCCAAAAGUAUAAAGAUAAUUUAUUUAAAAAAUAUCACAAAUAUAAAAAUUUAAUAAAUAUUUUCCUCAUAUAAGAUAUCUCAUUAUGUUUAAUUUGCGUAAAGUUAGUCAAAAGACUAAUGUUCACACAACUACAAAUUUGAACAUUUUAAUAAUUAGGUGUUGAAAUAAGGCUUAUUUUUGGACAAGUUUUCUUAAGCUCUUCUUUUUAAAAGGAAAAUUAAAAUUAGUUUAUUCAGCUUAUACAUAAAUUAAUUUAUAGAACUUAUAUAUUCUUUUAUAUUUUUACUUUUAUUGUUACACAAACUAAUUUUAACUUAUGAUUUUUUCUAAAAAAAUGUAUCCUCUAAAUAAUUCUAAAAAAGUAGACCACAUAUCACUACAAGAAAAUCAUGAAAUAAAAACCAAUUUUUAGAGACCAAAAUAAUUAGUUACAAUAAGAACUAAAAUAGAGAUCAUUUUAAAAACUAAAAAAAAAAUGGUUUCUAAAUUAGUUUAUAUUAUUUUCUAUUAUUGUCAAAUAGUUUCUAAAUUGGUAUCUAAUUAACCACUAAGGUUUUAACUACCAAUUAUUUAGUUUCUAAAUUUGGUAGAAAAACCUUGGUUGCUAAUUAGAUACCAAUUUAGAAAUUAUUUAACAAUAAUAAAAACUAAUUUAGAAACCAAUUUUUUUUUAGUUUCUAAAAUGGUCUCUAAUUUAAUUACUAUUGCAACUAAUUAUUUUGGUUUGUACAAAUCUUGUAGUAUAUACUCUUCUUAAUCACAAAACUAAAAAAAUAAAAUUAUAUUUGAAUAUUCUUAAACAUUUUUUAAUUACAACAAAAAUUAAUUCUAAAUAAAAAAAAUCAAUUACCAUAUAUACUAUCUUACAAACUAGAUUAUAAUCUAAAAUAAUUAAUAUUUAAAUUCAGAUAGUUAAAUAGAUACUAAUUUAAAAACUAGUUUAUACUAAUGAUUCAAACUACUUUAUAUAUUCAUAAUUUUUUUACUUUACAAAAUAAUAUCUAAUUUAGUCAAUAUAAUAAAUAAUAAUAAUUUGUUUCUUACUUUACAAAAUAAUAUAUAAUCUAAUCAAUAUAAUAAAUAAUAAUGAUUUGAUUAUUUUUUAUAUAAAUAUCUAUAUAAAAAAGUGUUUUAUAUCUUAGUCCAAUCUUAAAUUACUAUAAAAAAACAGACAAAAAUUAGUAUGCAUGCUAAUUUGUAAUUAGGUUUUAAAAUAUUUAUUGUGGAAUAUUAAAAAGUAUUUGUGAAGUGAUUGUGCUAUAAAUAGAGCACACCAUGGUUUCUCUUUACAAAGCAAUAACAUUGUGAAAGAAACACCUAAAUUGGUUUCUCUCUUGCUACAUGAAAUCAAUAGCAGUGAUGAUGAGUCUAAGCAGAGUCUUCAUUUUCAUGGUUCUCCUUUUCUGUUCUUUCCAAGUUCAUCAUGCAACCUCUUCUUCUUCUUCUUCUUCUUCUGGUGGUGAUUACAAACAAGCACUGACAAAUUCUUUGCUGUAUUUUGAGGGGCAACGUUCAGGGAAGUUGCCCUCCAACCAGAGAGUGAACUGGAGAGGAGAUUCAGCACUUCAAGAUGGUGAAGAUGCUGGAGUAAUAUUUCUAAUCUCAUUUCACAUUUUCCUUUUUUUUCAUUUUGAUUUAGAGUUUUUGCAUAUUACUAUGUUUUUUAAGAAGAAAAUAUAUAGUCAAACUCUUAUAAAAAAAAAUCAAAACUACCAGAUAUUACCAAACCUUCCAAAUUACUAUAUAAAAGACUGAAUUUAAGUGCAUAAUAAUACCAUUUAAUCUCUCCAAUUAAUAUGUAAGUUUCAUAUCCUUUUAGAUGCAUACAUACAUAUAUAUAUAUAUAUAUAUAUAUAUAUGAUUGAAAGGAGAUUUUUUACUAAAGUUAUUAAUUGCAAUAUUUUUAGAAAGAUUUAUAACCAUUUUAAAAAUUAGUGGGGCAUGUAUAUUAAUAAUAUGCUUCUUUACUUUUAGUUUAUGUUGAAAAUAUAGUGAAUUGUUUGAGAUUAUAAUUGUUAAAAGUAGGAAAAAUAAUAUUUAUAAUUGACAACCAUUUGUAUUUUUUUUAUUGAGAUUGAAUAAUUUUGAAAUUGUAUUGAUCAAAUCAUAAUUAUAAACUGGGGUCUUUCAAUCGGUUUUUCACAUUAACAUUUUCCUUAAUUUUUCAUUGUAAUGUGAGUUUGUGCGAGAAAAUGAUUUUUUUUUGAAAGGUUGUAAAUGGGUGAUUUUGACUCUAAAAUUUUUAAAAUAAUAUUUUUAUUUUUAUGUGAGUCAUUAUCUAAAAAAAAUUGAAUGAUUAAGUUUAGAAGAACCACUUUUUUUAAUCACUUAUGGAUUUUUAAUUUGAAAUUUUAUUGGUUUUAUAAAUAUCAUUCAUUAAAUUAGAAAAAAAAAUUAUUUGUUGAUUGAUAUACUAAUUAUUUUUGAACAUUUUUAAAUUAUAUUAUCCUAAACGUUAAUGUUAACGAAUUCUUAGAAAAACAAGGAAAAAAAAAUCAGUGUGUAAAACCCCAUUCAACGUGACGGUUUUGUAAGUUAUCAUUAACUUUAAAAUAUUUUUUAGCUAAUCCAAAAGAUUAAUUAUUGUUAUUUUUCACAAGUUUUAAUGUUAUACCUUAAUUUUGUAUAUGUCAGUUUUUCUUUUCUUUUAAAACUUUACUCAUUAAUUAUCAGUUUGUUCCUAAAUUUCAUACAUAUCAUAGUUAUAGGUUGACUCAAAAUGAAAACAUAAGUUAAACGCAUACGAAAUAGUGCAAACUUUUGUAACAGAGAAAAAUAAUUUCCUAAAUUAAAUAUCUCAUUACUAUUUUAUUUAAUUUUUUUAAUCAGCAAAACUAUUUUAUUUAAUAACAAAUCUCUAUGAUAUCAAAUCAAUGUUUCAACUAUUUUAUUUAAUAACAACUCUAUGUGGAUGCUAUCAAAUUAUUGUUUAUUUGGUGGUUCAUCAACUCAUAAUUGUUUGAUCCCAUAAAAUGAUUAUGAUAAAAAAAAAAUUAGUGUUAGUUCUAUAUUAAUUUCUAUUAUUGAUAAAUAAUUUUUAAAUUAGUAUUUAAUUAGUGAAAAUAUAUCUAAAUUAAAUAGUAUAUAAUUUAAUCAAUAUACCAACUAAUUAUUAUUAUUUUUUUCUAGAAUUGAGUUGUAUUUGAUGAUUUUCAACAAUUUAUUAAAAGAAAAACCUUUUUUACUCAAAUAUUAACUAAUUUUUUCUGGCAGAUUGAUCUUGUUGGUGGAUACUAUGAUGCUGGAGAUAACCUGAAACUAGGGUUUCCACUAGCAUUCACCUUAACCAUGCUUUCAUGGAGCACAAUAGAGUUCAAUGACCAACUUUCCAAGCAGAAUGAACUCCAAAACGCACUCAGGGCCAUCAAAUGGGGAACAGAUUAUUUGAUCAAAGCACACGCCAGUCCGGAUGUGUUAUACGGCGAGAUCGGAGAUCCAGAUUCUGAUCAUUCAUGCUGGCAGAGACCAGAAGAUAUGACAACUUCUCGUACCUCUUACAAACUCGAUGAUCAGCAUCCGGGUUCCGAUCUCGCCGCUGAAACAGCAGCUGCCCUUGCCGCUGCCUCCAUAGCGUUUCAGUCCACGAAUACAAAAUAUUCUUCCACCAUGUUACUUCAUGCAACACAGGUAAGGAUAUAUAUCAAACAUUAAAAUACUUUCAUUACAUGGUUACAUGGUUACCUAACACACAAUAUAUUAUUUAUUAUGGUGUGAGAUUGCUAAUUUUUAAGACACUAAUUAACAAAACUAUUUCUUCAAAAACAGAAAAAAAAAUCCUAAGUUAAAUAUUCUAUGAAUAAAGUUUCUUUCAAACUCUAGUAAAAAAUAAUCACUCUACGACUGUUUUUUUUAAUAUAUAAAAUAUAUAUAUGAAAUUGUUGAGAAAGUAUUAUUAUUCUAAAUUAGUAACUGAAUUUCUAAUUCUAUUGAUAUAUUGACAACUCAUUCUUUUAUAUUGUACAAUUUUAUUUUAAUAAUUUUUACAUUUAAUUAUAAAUUUUUUGGUUAAAAUUCUCACAUAAAAUAUUAUGUAUAAUUCUCCAGUUGUCAAAGUAUAAUUUUUUAUUAUAAUUUUUCUUUUUUGUGAUAAUUUAUGGUGGUUGUUUUCAUUUGCAGUUGUUUGACUUUGCAAACAGUCAUCGAGGUAAGUAUUCAGACAGUAUCCCACCAGCAAGGGAAGUAUAUUCCAGCAGCGGAUACGAGGUGUGUAUAUAUAAAUCACUGAAUGACACUAAUUAAUACUUUUGGGAAAUUAAAAUUAAAUGAAAUAUGCAUAUUAGUUAUAGUUUUAUAUUAUAUAUUUAAAAAAUGUAAAAAAUUAUUUAAUUGUUUUAAGUUAACAAUCUUUAUAACAUUACAACUCAAACAGAAAUAUUUUUUUAUGAAAUAAAAUAAUUUAAAAUUAUACUGAUAGUUGGAGAUCCACCUAAACUAAAAAUUAUGUAUAUUUCGUUUUUAUAAGUGAGUGUAAUUAUAAGCUGUUUUUAGGAGAUUGACUUACAUUUAAAGUCUAUAUCAGAGUCAUUUAAAAGUUUAUCCUAAUGAAUGUUCGUUGGUCUUAUCAGGCCACCUUCGAUUGGAUCGUUAUCCAACCAUUCAUAAUAUAUAGUCUCUCACACAUACGAGUUGGCAGCCUUCGCAAAAUAACAUUUUUCUUUGUUUUAAUUAACAGGAUGAACUGACGUGGGCAGCAGCAUGGCUUUAUCGUGCGAGCAGCACGAAGAAAUACCUUGAUUACCUGGGAGCAGUGACAGACAGUGGUGGUGUGAGAGCAGAGUUUAGUUGGGAUGAUAAGUAUGUGGGUGCACAUAUUCUUGCAGCAAAGGUAUCAUUCAAUUUUCACAGAUACUAAUGUUUAAUCUCAAACUGUGAUAUUGUUGAAUUUUAUGUAAUUUGUUUUGAAUGUGAUGUGUGUGUGUGAUGCAGCUUGUUUUGGAUGGUAAAGUGAAUGCAUCAGGGAUAUGGGGUCAAUACAAGUCACAGGCAGAAGAAUACAUAUGCUCUUGUGCUCAGAAAUCAAACCAAAAUGUGGCAAAAACACUAGGGGGUCUCUUCUGGUUCUUGCCAUGGAACAAUAACCAAUAUGUUGCUACUGCAACAUUUGUCAUGUCUGUUUAUUCCAAAUAUUUAUCUUCAUUGGGUUCUUCCCUUAACUGCACUGCUGGUGUUGUUACUCCUGAUGAUCUCACUUCUCUUGUUCGUUAUCAGGUACUUCCAUUCAUCUCUUCUUAAAAACAUUUUAUAAUAUAUAAGUAAAUACAAAUAUUUACUAGGGUAGAAAUGACAUUUUACACUAGUUUUAUGAGACAUUUUAUCACCAGUAUAAAUGUGGGCGUGUAAAAUGUCAAAUAUAACACUAAUUGAGUUAUGUGACUCUAUAUUAUACCAAUUAUUCAAGUCAAUCGGUGUAAUAUAUGAGCUUACUAACUAGCCAUUUAAGUUCCUAUAUUACAUUGGGUGACUCGAAUAAUCGGUGUAAUAUAUGGUCAAUUUCGAGUGAUGAGUAAAAUUCAUAUUACACUGAUUUUAUAAGAUGGUAAAAACAUUUUAUAGCAUUUAAGUGGAUAUAAACUUCAUUUUAUAGACCAAUUUUAUAAGAUGAUAAACAUUUUAUAAUAUAUAAGUAGAUGAGUGUCAUAAGAUUGAAUUAAACUUGAAAUACAAAAUAACUGAAAGUUGUACUCUCUUCUUUGUGGCUAUAGGUUGACUACAUUUUGGGUUCAAACCCUAAGAACAUGAGUUACAUGGUUGGAUAUGGAUCAAAUUUCCCAAAGAAGAUUCAUCACAGAGGAGCAUCAAUCAUAUCAAUAAAGAAGGAUCCUAGUCCAGUAACAUGCAAAGAUGGGUUUCCGAAAUGGUUCUAUAAGAAUGCACCAAACCCUAAUGUGUUGGUUGGUGGAGUUGUGAGUCCAGAUGCAAAUGAUAAUUAUGAAGAUAGUAGGAAUGAUUUCCAACUAGCUGAGCCAGCAACUGUUACUUUGGGACCUUUGGUGGGUGUUCUUGCUAGUUUAGCUUAAUUUUUUAGAGUUUCACCUUUAAUCUAAAUCAGUAUCUUCAAUCCUGACAUGUAUUAGAUGAUAAAAAUGAUCUCAUAUAAUAUAUCAGAUAAAUUUUCAGUUGUAACUAUCUUUUUAGUUGUAACUGUUUUAUCAUCAGUUGUAACUAUCUUUUUAAUUGUAACUGUUUUAUCAGUUAUGGCUGUUAUCGGUUGUAACUGUUACAUCAGUAUUAUGAUAAUGAGUUUUUAUAUAAUCGGAUUUUUGUUGGUGUUGAAAUAAUAUGGAUUGAAAGAAUUAAUAAUAUAUAUAUAUAUAUAUAUAUAUUUAUUUGUAACUCUUCGUUUAUGCCAGAAUUUUUAUAUUGCUUUAGUUUCAAGUUUCUUCUAUACUCUUAUAACUGUAACACUCCAUAUAAUAUUUUGCACUAACUAACUCAAAAUAUUCAAUAUCUACACGUUACGAUAAAUUAUAAUUUAUCCAACAGCAGGUUUACGAAAAAAAAUCUAUAUUUACAACCAAAAUAUGAAAUAACAAAAUAAACUAGAUUUUUCUAUCAAUCUUGGCUCAUCUAUUUUAAUUUGCAUCUGUUUUUUACUUGCAUAUUAAAUAAAAUUAAACAAUUACAUAAAACAAGUAAUAUAAGAUUUAAUUCAAUAUACAUUACUACUAGAAAAUCAAUAAAUAAAAAAUAACUAAUUAUUAUAUUAAUUAAAUUAAAUAUUAUUUUAAAAAGAAAAAAUAUUAUUUAAAUUAGUUUAUAUAUUAAUACAAAUUUAUUUAUUAGUUUCUAAAAUCUUAAUAAACAAUUAGAUAUCAAUUUAAAAAUUAAUUUGUAAACUAUUAUUAAUAAUAGAAAUUGACUUCAAAUAACAAUUAUUUUUUAUAAAAAAAUAUAAUUGAGUGAGUAUAGAGUAAAUAAUUAUUUUUUAUUUUUAAAAUUAAUUUUUAUUACAAUAUUAAUUACUUUUUUUAUCAAGCAUAUUCAAAUUUACAUAUUAAUUAAUAUUCGAUUGAUUGAUACGAGGUUAUCCAAAAAUCUCUUUAUUAUCAUCACUAUUCAUUAAUACUAAAUCUCUCACAAUCCAAAACUCUAAAAUUUCAAUACAAAGAUCAAUAAAAAUCGAUGACUUGCAACCACUAAUUCAAUAUUAUCUUAAUGUACUUUAUGAUUCAAAGGUAAAGUAAUAUCAAACUAUAACAUGUAGAGUUCACUUCCUUUCUGUUAUUUCUUAAAUUUUAACCAAUAUUAUCUUAUUCUAAAAAGUUUGUAUUUUCUUUCAAUAAUCACAACUUUUUAAAUAAGUUACAUAUCAUCUUAUUAGGAGCUUAGAUUAACUAACAUUACACAUCCUCAAGACCAGUUGAUGAAGAAGUAUAUCCAGCAAAAAAAAUUGAAAAUAAUUUAAGAUGUAAGUUGCGCAUAAUCUGUUAAUGAUAGUGUACUUUAAUUAUAACAAAUUGACCUCAUCUUUUUCCCAUUAGUUAGCUGAUCUCCUAUUAAGAGGGAAUAUAAUUUAUUUACAAAAUCAAUUACAAAAUCUAUUAAUUAUUAAGAAAGAUUCCAUAAAAUUACCUAGAAUUUUAGAGAAAAAAAAUAUCUAUCGAUUAAGAAAAAUACAAUUACAUAAGAUUAAUUAAAACGCAACUAAGACUUGUGAAAUACAUGUCAAUGAGAAAUACGAAUUCUAAAUGUUCAAACUUGAUACUACUUAAACUUUAAAUCACAACAAAACCCAAACAAUAAAUUUCUCUCAAUCUUUUCAAAUACCUUACUAUCUAACUUAAAAGACCAUAUCAUGAUCAUAACAAUUUCAUUAAAGUGAUAAUAAUUUAAAGGAAGAAGUUUGUGAACCCUAAAUGAAAAAAAGUCUCCAUAAAAAAUGCACAUUCUAACUCAAAAUAAGGAGUGAAUAAUGAAACAACAAUUUAACAACAUUUCUAACGGGUUAAGAAAAUAAAAAAAAAUGCUAUGUCACGAGUGUGGCGAUACACAUGGAAUUUUCCGUUGCAAAAUUUUUUCAGUAGCUCAAUCGUCAUUAUCUGGAAUUGAAGACCAGUUCAAAAAGUUGAAAACGUAAUGACACGCAAGCAAACAUGACCCUCCAUAAAAUAAAGCUACUCGAAAGAGAGACCCCAACAACUCGAAAACAACCGCGAAAUUCUUCUAACAGAGAACAAAACCUCUCACAGAAUAAAAGGAAAACUCUCUCUGUUUCUCUCUCUUUUUCUCCUUUUCCUUUUUACUUGUUCGUUGAAACCGAAUCAAAAUCAGAACCUAUCGCAUCGCAAUAGCAUACUCUUCGUAUGCGCAAUCGAGCGCCGCAGAACAAUGGCGUCUCCGGAAUCGUUAUUUCUAGAAGAUUUCGGCCAGACGGUUGAUCUCACGCGCCGCAUCCGCGAGGUUCUGCUCAACUAUCCGGAGGGAACCACGGUGCUCAAGGAGCUCAUACAGAAUGCAGACGACGCCGGCGCCACCACCGUUUCGCUCUGCCUCGAUCGACGCUCUCACCGCGGCGACUCGCUGCUUGCGAACUCUCUCGCGCAGUGGCAGGGACCGGCGCUGCUGGCCUACAACGACGCCGCUUUCACGGAGGACGAUUUCGUCAGCAUCUCCAAGAUCGGCGGAAGCGCCAAGCACGGACAGGCCUCCAAGACCGGUCGCUUCGGGUAGCUUAUUUUUCGCUGCGGUGUAAUUGAGCUUAUUCAAUUGAACUGUGAUUAUGUUGAUUGGUGUUGUGUGUUUGUUUUGUGUUGAUGAUUGGUUCAAUCCAAGGAGUGAAGUUAUUGUAGUUGUCGCUGGAGUAUAGCGAGAGAAGUAAUGUGUGGUUGUUGACAAAGGAGUUGUGUUGUUAUGUUCUAUUUUUUUUAUAGAUGAUUUUAGUAUUUUAUGCUUGUGAGAAGUUAAAAAACGUAGUGCACUGCUUUUGUUGUGAAUUUUGUUGCUGUUGUAGUUAUUACUGGAAAAUAUCGUCAGAGAAGUGAUGUGUUUGGUUGUAGAAGAUUGACGAAGGAGUUGUAUAGUUAUGGAUUUUGAUUGUUUUUUCUAGCUUAUUCGUGUUUGUUGAGAACUUCAAAAAUAUAGUACGCUUGUUUAGGUGUAAUUUUUUUGUUUUAGUUGUAACCGGAAAUUAUGGUGAGAGAAGUGGUGUGUGGUUGUUGACGAUUGAUGAAGGAGUUGUGGAGUUAUAUAGAGUAUGAAUGUUUUUGGAAUUUUAUGUGUUUUGAGAGAAUGUAAAAAUGUAGUCCGAUGGUUUGUUUUUGUUGAUCAUUUCCUUUUCAUGGACGAGUGAACUGUAGGAACUGAAGCUGGACUUUCUGUACUGCAAUGUCAAGGCUCUGAUAAUGAGAUUGAUGUGUGGGAAUGUCAUAAUGAUUUUUAUUCAUAAACUGAAUGGGGGAUGUUGUUGAAUUUUAAUGUUUGUCAUUUAGUGUACCUAUAGAUAUAGUUGCACUCAUAUUUAAAAAGAAAAGGAAAGCUGUCCAAGGACACUUAAAUGCUAAUCCACAUAGAGAGAAAGAGAGUAAAAAGAAAGAAGUGUAGGUAUGAUAGGAAGAUAGAGAUAGAGAGAAGGGAUAGGUGGUGACGAGGUGUUUGAUAUAUAGGAGUGUUUUUAUAUCAUUACUCUUUCAAAAUUGUCAUUUUGUUCAAUAACCAACGUUGCUGGUUUCCCUUUCUCUGUCUGUCCUUUUUUUUUUCUGGAAAAAAAAUCUUAUUGACCUGAUUUUUGGGUUCUCUGCAUUUCUCUAAUUCUUUCAUCAUUUUGUUCUGCAUAUGCAUUUUAGGGUUGGCUUCAACUCAGUGUACCAUUUGACAGAUCUUCCCUCUUUUGUGAGCGGCAAAUAUGUUGUAUUGUUUGAUCCUCAGGGUGCUUAUCUUCCAAGAGUUUCUGCAGCAAAUCCCGGGAAGCGGAUUGAUUUCACUGGCUCAUCUGCCCUCUCCUUUUACAGGGACCAGUUUUCCCCAUAUUGUGCAUUUGGUUGUGACAUGCAAAGUCCUUUUUCUGGAACUUUGUUCCGUUUUCCUUUGAGGAAUGCAGACCAGGCAGCCAGAAGUAAGCUCUCAAGGCAAGCAUAUUCACCAGAAGACAUUUCCUCCAUGUUUGUGCAGCUCUUCGAAGAAGGGGUUUUGGCACUUCUCUUUCUUAAGAGUGUGCUGUGCAUUGAAAUGUAUUUGUGGGAUGUUGGAGAACCUAAACCUAAGAAAAUUUAUUCAUGUUCUGUCAGUUCAGUAUCUGAUGAUACAGUUUGGCAUCGACAGGCACUGGUCAGAUUGUCUAAAUGUUUAAAUACUACUGCUGAAAUGGAUGCAUUUCAAUUGGAAUUCUUAAGUGAGAGAAUAAGUGGUGAUGAAGUUAAGAGGCAAACCGAGAGAUUUUAUGUGGUGCAAACCAUGGCUGCAGCAUCUAGUAGGAUUGGCUCUUUUGCUACUACUGCAUCAAAAGAUUAUGACAUUCACUUGCUGCCCUGGGCAUCAAUUGCGGCAUGCAUUUCUGAAAAUUCAACAAAAGUAAUUUUCAAUAUCUUAUGCCUUUUGCUGUUGCCCCAGCCUCCUCUCUCUCUCUUUCUCUCUCUCUCUCCCUCUCUCGUGCAUACACACAUUGAAUUGUAGUUGUCUAUAACUUUGAAUUUGCUUUUGAUUCUGCACCAUUAUUAACUUUAAUCUUAUUGUGGAAGUGAAGUCAGUUGAAAGUGGUGUCCCAUUUACCUACAUUUUGGUUCAUACAGACCUGCAAUUAAUUUUGACUGCAAUUGAUGAUUCAAAGUUAAGCAUGUAACUCUGUUUGAAGUAUAAAAACUUCUUGGGCUUGUUCAAAGUGUUUGAAAAGAUUUCACUCCUCUGGUUAGAGGUUUUGGGAGAUCAAUGGGGUGGUUGUUUCAGAGAAAAAUGCAAUCAUGCUGUUGCUUGUUUGUGUUCUGGAUAUGGUAUUUAGAUCAGAGUUGUAUCUUUAAUAGGCCAUCAAGUGGACUAAAGCUCUAUACUGAUGUGUUACAGCUUUCUAUGUUUUUUGGUCCUCUGCUUGUUUUACUUUCUUUCCCUUUGUUCUUGUAGAAUAUGGUAUUUUUCAUGGUAUGUUGCUAGUUUAAAUUCUUGAUUGUUUUUUCUGUUUCUAGAUUUAUUUUUAGAAUUUUGUUUAAAACAAACUGCCAUUAUGGUGAAUCUGUUAUAUGUAAUGUUUUCCAUGACGCAUGAUGCGUCCAUUAGAACUUGCUUUGUUUUAUAGGUGUCCCAGUCUAAAUAAGAAAAUGAUUGAGGUGAUAAAGUUACCCAUGACAAAGAUAUUACAUGCACAAGUGUGAUUCUUCCUUAUUUUUUGGAGCCCUUUGUUUAUAUAUAUACAUAUAGAUAGAUAGAUAUUCAUGGUCCAUUCCUCUUAUUAUUGUAUUGUGUUUUUCACAGAACAAUAUUCUUAGGACUGGUCAGGCUUUCUGUUUUCUUCCACUACCUGUUAGAACUGGCCUUACUGUACAAGUCAAUGGAUUCUUUGAGGUCUCAUCAAAUCGUCGUGGUAUCUGGUAUGGGGAUGACAUGGACAGAAGUGGAAAAGUUCGUUCUAUCUGGAAUAGGCUUCUUUUGGAAGAUCUUGUUGCUCCUGCUUUUACGCAUAUGCUACUUGGUAUUAAAGAAUUGUUAGGGCCAACAGACAUUUACUAUUCUUUAUGGCCUAUUGGAAGUUUUGAAGAGCCAUGGAAUAUAUUGGUUCAACAAAUAUACAAAAAUAUUGGUAAUGCUACAGUUCUGUAUUCGGAUGUCAAUGGAGGAAGUUGGGUAUCACCAAGUGAAGCCUUUCUUCAUGAUGAAAAAUUCACCAAAAGUGAAGACCUUGGUUUGGCUCUGAUGCAGCUGGGAAUGCCAGUUGUGCAUUUGCCUAAUUCAUUGUUUGAUAUGCUUUUACAGUAUAGUUCAAGCAAGGUGGUUACCUCUGGUACAGUACGUCAAUUUCUUAGAGAAAAUGGUACAUUUAAUUAUUUGAGCAGACAGUACAAACUUCUAUUGCUCGAAUAUUGCCUAGAGGACUUGGUUGAUGAUGAUGUUGGAAAAGAGGCUUAUGAUCUGCCUUUACUUCCUUUAGCUAAUGGUAAUUUUGCAUCAUUUUCAGAAGCAUCAAAAGAAGUCUCUUAUUUCAUUUGUGAUGAAUUAGAAUACAAACUUAUGCAUCCGGUUUCUGAUAGAGUAAUUGAUCAGAACAUUCCUCCCAAUAUAUUGAGCAGACUCUCUGGCAUUGCGAUGUCCUCAAAAACCAAUGUCAUUCUUUGUAGUAUUCACCAUUUUGCUAAGCUAUUCCCUGCAUUUAUGCCAGGUGAUUGGAAAUAUAGAAGUAAAGUGUUUUGGAACCCUGACUCUUGUCAAAAGCCAACAUCAUCAUGGUUUCUGCUAUUCUGGCAAUAUCUAGGAAAGCACACUGAAAUAUUACCACUAUUUAUUGAUUGGCCAAUUUUGCCUUCCACAUCGGGGCAUCUGUUGAAACCUUCCAGACAAUUGAAAAUGAUCAAUGGAAGCAAUAUCUCUGAAACGGUGCAGGAUAUCCUUGUCAAAGUUGGAUGUAAUAUAUUGAAUCCAAAUUAUGUAAUUGAGCAUCCAGAUAUAUCUAGUUAUGUAUGUGAUGACAGUGCAACAGGUGUUUUGGAAUCAAUAUUUAAUGUAGUUUCUAGUCCUGAUGUUAUGCAUGCUUCACUUGAUAGUCUAGUAACUGAAGAAAGAAAUGAACUCCGAAGAUUUCUUCUUGAUCCUAAAUGGUAUGUUGGACACUCUAUGGAUGAAUUUAGCAUACGGUUUUGCAAGAGAUUACCUAUAUUUAGAGUCUAUGGAAGAGAUUCUGCCGAUGAUUUCCAAUUCUCUGCCUUAGAAAAUCCUCGAAUGUACUUACCACCAUUGGAUGUGCCGGAGAUUAUUCUGGCGGGCAUCGAGUUCAUGGUCAAAUCCUCAAAAGUAGAAGAGGAUAUUUUGUCAAGAUGUUAUGGAGUUGAGAGAAUGGGUAAAGCACAAUUUUACAUGCAACAUGUUUUUAAUAGAGUUGGCGAGUUGCAAGCUGAUGUUCGGGAUAACAUUAUGUUAUCAGUUCUACAAAAUUUGGCACUUUUGUCCCUUGAAGAUACAAAUAUCAGGGACUCAUUGAAAAAUUUGAAAUUCAUACCGACACUCACUGGUGCUCUUAAGUGUCCUUCAGUUUUAUAUGAUCCUUGUAAUGAAGAACUAUAUGCAUUACUAGAAGACUCAGAUAGUUUCCCUUCUGGGGCUUUUCGAGAAUCUGAAAUACUUAAUAUUCUACGAGGCCUGGGACUUAGAACUUCUGUGUCUCCAGAUACUGUUUUAGAAUGUGCUCGAUGCAUUGAUCGCUUGAUGCAUGAGGAUCAACAAAAGGCAUAUUUAAGAGGGAAAGUGCUUUUCUCUUACCUUGAAGUUAAUUCAUUAAAGUGGCUUCCUGAUCAAGUUGUUGAUAAUAAAGGAGCAGUUAACCGAAUAUUGUCACGAGCAACAACUGCUUUUAGGUCUAGCAACACAAAAUCUGAUCUUGAAAAAUUCUGGAAUGACCUACGACUGAUUUCCUGGUGCCCAGUUUUAGUCACUACUCCUUUUCAGUCAUUACCAUGGCCAGUUGUGUCAUCAAUGGUUGCUCCUCCAAAACUUGUAAGGCCACUGAAUGAUUUGUGGCUUGUCUCAGCUAGCAUGCGGAUAUUGGAUGUUGAAUGCUCUUCCACAGCUUUAUUGUAUGGCCUGGGAUGGAUGUCUCCACCUGGAGGAGGUGUAAUUGCUGCACAGUUACUGGAGCUUGGGAAAAACAAUGAGAUUGUGUCUGAUCAAGUUCUUAGGCAGGAAUUAGCUUUGUCAAUGCCGAGAAUAUACUCAAUACUGUCUGGAAUGAUGUCUUCAGAUGAGAUUGAGAUUGUAAAAGCUGUUCUUGAAGGAUGUCGAUGGAUUUGGGUGGGGGAUGGAUUUGCAACUUCUGAAGAAGUUGUCCUGGAUGGUCCUCUUCAUUUGGCUCCAUAUAUUCGUGUUAUCCCAGUUGAUUUGGCAGUUUUCAAAAAAUUGUUUCUUGAACUUGGUAUUCGUGAAUUCUUGCAACCUGCUGAUUAUGCUAAUAUUCUUCAUAGGAUGGCAGUUAGAAAAGGAUCAUCUCCUCUUGACACACAGGAGAUAAGGGCUGUCACGCUAAUAGUGCAUCAUAUAGCUGAAGUUUACCAUCAUGAACAAAAAGUCCAGCUCUAUCUUCCAGAUGUGUCAAGUAGACUAUUUCUUGCCGGUGACUUGGUUUAUAAUGAUGCCCCCUGGUUGCUUGGCUCUGAUGAUUCUAGUGGCUCAUUUGGCAGUGCCCCAACUGUGGCUUGGAAUGCAAAGAGAACAGUUCAAAAAUUUGUGCAUGGAAACAUUUCUAAUGAUGUAGCAGAAAAACUUGGAGUUUGCUCUCUUCGCCGGAUGUUGCUGGCAGAGAGUUCAGAUUCAAUGAAUUUUGGCCUGUCUGGAGCUGCUGAGGCUUUUGGACAGCAUGAGGCUUUGACUACAAGGCUUAAGCAUAUACUUGAAAUGUAUGCUGAUGGACCUGGGACCCUAUUUGAGCUGGUACAAAAUGCAGAAGAUGCAGGAGCUUCUGAAGUAAUAUUUCUUUUGGAUAAUUCUCACUAUGGGACUUCUUCUAUUCUUUCUCCUGAAAUGGCUGAUUGGCAAGGUCCUGCUCUAUACUGUUUCAAUGACUCAGUUUUUAGUCCCCAAGAUCUUUAUGCAAUAUCUCGUAUUGGUCAAGAAAGUAAACUUGAGAAGGCUUUUGCAAUUGGGAGAUUUGGACUAGGAUUUAAUUGUGUCUAUCACUUUACAGACAUCCCUAUGUUUGUUUCUGGAGAAAAUAUUGUAAUGUUUGAUCCUCAUGCCAGUAAUUUGCCUGGGAUUUCUCCUUCACACCCUGGUUUACGAAUUAAGUUUGUGGGACGACAAAUUUUGGAGCAAUUUCCUGACCAAUUUUCCCCAAUGCUACAUUUUGGAUGUGAUUUGCAACAUCCUUUUCCUGGUACAUUAUUUCGAUUCCCUCUUAGAACCGCAGGUGUGGCCUCCCGGAGCCAAAUCAAAAAGGAAAUUUAUACACCUGAAGAUGUCAGAUCUCUUUUUGCUUCUUUUUCUGAGGUUGUUUCUGAAACAUUACUUUUCCUGCGCAAUGUGAAAUCUAUCUCUAUUUUUGUGAAGGAAGGAACAGUGAAUGAAAUGCACCUAUUGCACCGUGUAUGCAGAAACAAUAUUGGUGAGCCUGAAGUUGGAUCUGCUGGAGCACAGGAUGUGUUCAACUUCUUCAAGGAAAGUAGACGUGUUGGAAUGAAUAGAGCUCAGUUUCUGAAGAAACUAAGCCUAUCCAUUGGUAGAGAUUUGCCUUAUAAAUGCCAGAAGUACCUUAUUACUGAGCAAAGUACAUCUGGUUGUAGUUCACACUAUUGGAUAACAACUGAAUGUUUAGGUAAUGCUCAAAAGAAAACGUCUGAAACAGCCAAUAGUAGCUGUUACAAUUUUGUUCCUUGGGCAUGCGUUGCUGCAUAUUUGAAUUCUGUAAAGCUUGAUGUUGACCCGGUUGAAAGUUCAAAGGGGGAUCAUUGCAUUGUUUCUCCUGAUCUGUUUCAAAAUGUUAGUUUGCCUAAUCAUUUGCUGGAAAAUUUUGAAGGUCGUGCAUUCUGCUUUUUACCUUUACCAAUCAGUACUGGUCUUCCUGCUCAUGUGAAUGCAUACUUUGAAUUAUCUUCAAAUCGCAGGGAUAUCUGGUUUGGUUCUGAUAUGGCUGGAGGUGGAAGAAAACGCUCAGACUGGAAUAUUUUCCUCCUUGAAAAUGUUGUUGCCCCUGCAUAUGGUCGUUUGCUUGAGAAGAUAGCAUCAGAGAUUGGUCCUUGCAAUGUGUUCUUCUCGUUGUGGCCAACAACAUUAGGAUUAGAACCUUGGGCAUCAGCAGUACGGAAACUCUAUCAAUUUGUUGCUGAGUUUAAUCUCCGUGUAUUGUAUACAGAAGCUAGAGGAGGUCAGUGGAUUUCAACCAAACAUGCUAUAUUUCCUGAUUUUACUUUCCUCAAGGCAGCUGAGCUUGUAAAAGCGCUGUGUGGGGCUUCUCUACCUCUCGUUACUCUUCCACAGUCACUUUCUGAAAGGUUUAUGGAAAUCUGUCCAUCAUUGCAUUUUCUGACUCCUAAGCUGUUAAGGUCUCUUUUAAUCAGAAGGAAGCGUGAAUUCAAAGAUAGGGAUGCAAUGAUUCUGACUCUUGAAUAUUGCUUACAUGACUUGCAAAAAUCCUUGCAGUUUGAUGCUCUAUGUGGCUUGCAUUUGUUACCAGUUGCAGAUGGUUCCUUUACAUCGAUUGAUAUGAAGGGAGUUGGAGAAAGAGUUUACAUUGCACGUGGUGAUGAAUAUGGCCUUUUGAAAGAUUCCAUUCCUCAUCAACUUGUAGAUUGUGCAAUUCCUGAAGAAGUUUACAGAAAACUUUGUUACAUUGCCGAAACAGAUGGCACAAACAUUUCUUUCUUGUCAUGCCAGUUGCUCGAGAAACUUCUUGUGAAAUUACUUCCUGUAGAGUGGCAACAUGCUCGGCAAGUGAGGUGGACUCCUGGUAUUCAUGGCCAACCAAGUGUAGAGUGGUUGCAACUACUGUGGAACUAUCUGAAAUCAUAUUGUGAUGAUCUUAUCAUGUUUUCUAAGUGGCCUAUAUUGCCAGUUGGGGAUGACUGCCUAAUGCAGUUAGCACAAAAAUUGAAUGUGAUAAGAAAUGAUGGAUGGAGUGAGAAGAUGUCUUCUUUAUUAGUGAAGGUUGGAUGUUUAUUCUUGAGACAUGAUAUGUUAUUGGAUCACCCUAAAUUGGAAUGCUUUGUGCAGUCAGCAACAGCAAGAGGUGUACUAAAUGUGUUUUUGGCUAUUGCUUUGGAACCACAAAAGAUUGAGGGGAUCUUUAUAGAUGUAUCUGAAGGGGAGCUUCAUGAACUCCGAAGUUUUAUUCUCCAAACAAAAUGGUUUUCCGAAGAGCAUAUUGAUGACAUGCAUAUUGAAAUCAUCAAACACCUUCCGAUAUUUGAGUCAUACAAAAGCAGAAAACUAGUAAGUUUGAGUAAUCCUAUUAAAUGGCUUGGUCCUACUGGUGUUUGUGAAGAUCUUUUAAAUGAUAACUUCUUAAGAACUGAAUCAGAAACGGAGCGGGUCAUUAUGAAGAGGUAUUUAGGGAUGAAAGAACCAACUAAAGUGGAAUUCUACAAAGAUCACAUUUUCAAUCACAUGUCAGAGUUCCUUUCGAGGCAAGAAAUUGUUUCAGACAUUCUGCAUGACGUACAACAUUUGAUUGAAGAGGAUCUCUCUCUCAAGUCUUCAUUCUCCUGUGCACAAUUUGUUCAGGCAGCCAAUGGAUCUUGGCAACAACCAUCCAGGUAAUAUCCUAUUUAUUGAAAUAAAAUUUCAAUAAUUCCCAAUAAGUUAUCCUCUAUUGUAUUUUAAGUUGCAUUUUCUGUGGUUUUGCUUCUAAAUGGUCAGCACCAGUAUGAGUUUUGUACAAGGAAGAACAUUAAUUGCAAGUUUGCAAUGUAACAUGUUCUAGAUUUCUAAAUUAGGAAUUUAAAUUCUUUCCACAAGGAAAGCAAAAAGAAUAUACUUUUACAAUUUCCCUCAACUUUAUUCUUUUAUUAGUGGGUUGAUGGAUAUUGUUAUUUAAAGCCAGUUAGCUUUUUAUUGCACUAUUAUGGGUGGACAUUGAAAAAAAUGGUAGAAAACAUCAUGCAUAUCUGAAAAGUUUGUUUACUAUUCUAUUAGAAGACUGUGUUAUGGUUGAAUUGCAUUUGUCAUGUUGGCAUUAUUUUUAGCUGUUUCAUCUUGCAGAUAUAUAUGGUAUACAUUUAUAUGUGAUCAAUGUUUCAAAAUCCACUAGCUUAUUUUUUCCUUGUGAACUUUUGUUAUGGCUAUAUGACUUUCUCACUGUCAAAGAUCUACUCAGCCCAGAAGCUCUCUAAAAACAAUUAUUUUUUAAACCAUCUGCACAUGCUGGAAAAAAAUAUGAAGAUGUGAUGAGAAUUUCAGUUAUUUUUAUUGAUGAGGAAUUUAUUGACAUUUCAAUGGUAUAUAUUAAAUGUAUCCUAAAUUAAUCUGCAACCUAAAUUUCAUUGGAAAUUAGUCAUGCUUUGAUUUGACAUCUUAUAUUUUUGCACUAAUGUUGAAGUUUGACUCAACUAAAACAAUUUAUGGAUAAUUACUUGAGAAAAUUGUAAUUAGACAUCAAAGCAUUUGUAAUUUGUUCCAAAUUAUUUAUGUAAAUAAACACUGAAUUUUCAGCUGCCGCUUUCUUGUACUGAUGUUUUAUCCUUGAAAGGUUAAGCUUCUUGAUUAAGUAUUUUACUUGCUUAAAACUGACGUUUGGAUUGCUGACUAGAUUGUUAUUGCAGGCUUUAUGAUCCUCGGGUUCCUCACCUUAAAAAGAUGCUUCAUGGGAAUGUUUUCUUUCCUUCUGACAAAUUCUUAGAUCAUGGAAUUUUGGAUACUUUAGUUUGUCUUGGACUUAGGAAAACUCUGGGAUUUACUGGCUUGCUUGAUUGUGCUAGAUCAGUCAGCCUCUUGCAUGAUUCUGGGGACAUUGAUGCCUCCAAGCAUGGUGGAGAGUUACUGGAUCUUUUAGAUACAUUAGCCUAUAAGCUCUCAAAUAAAGGAGGAAGUAAGAAUGAUGAUCAACAGGGUGAUGUGGCUCUGGGAAGUAGCAGCAUAAUGGAUGAUGCUUUUGUAAAUGAUGGCUUCCCUAAAGAACAGACCUGUCUAACUGAUAUUGAUUCAUUUUUAAGCAGCUCAACAUUUGAUAUGGCAGAAGAAGAGUUUUGGUCUGAAUUGAAGCUAAUCUCUUGGUGUCCAGUAAUUUCUGAUCCAGCUGUUAGGGGACUUCCAUGGUUAAAAUCCAAUAACCAAGUAGUAGCGCCCCCCACUAGUGUGAGGCCUAAAUCACAGAUGUGGAUGGUAUCUUCCUCAAUGUUCAUUUUAGACGGUGAAUGUGACUCUACGUAUCUACAGACUGAACUUGGGUGGAUGGAUUGCCCAAAUAUUGGUGUUCUAAUAAGGCAGUUAAUUGAGCUAUCUAAGUCCUAUCAGCAGCUUAAGAUAAACUCACUGCUGGAUCCCAGUUUUGAUGCACAGCUGCAAAAGGAAAUACCUUGCCUUUACUCAAAAUUGCAGGAAUUUAUUAAUACUGAGGAUAUCAAUAACCUGAAAGCAGGGUUAGAUAGUGCUUCAUGGGUUUGGAUUGGUGAUGAUUUUGUAUCACCAAAUGCACUGGCAUUUGAUUCACCUGUAAAAUAUACACCUUAUUUGUAUGUUGUUCCAUCUGAACUAUCAGAGUAUAAAGAUUUGUUGAUAAAGUUGGGGGUUAGAUUGAGUUUUGGUAUUUCAGACUAUCUUCAAGUAUUACAAAGGUUGCAGAAUGAUGUGCAUGGGGUUCCUCUCUCUACUGAUCAGUUAAAUUUUGUCCAUCGUGUCCUUGAAGCCAUAGCAGAAUGUUGCUUGGAGAAGCCACUUUUUGAGACUUUUGAUUGCCCCUUGUUGAUUCCUAAUGAUUUUGGAGUUCUGAUGCAAGCAGGAGAUCUUGUAUAUAACGAUGCACCUUGGCUCGAAAACAGCUCUCUUAUUGGGAGACAUUUUGUGCAUCCAGUUAUAGGCAAUGAUUUGGCAGACAAACUUGGUGUACAGUCAGUUCGAUGCCUUUCUUUAGUCAGUGAUGAUUUGACUAAAGAUCUGCCCUGCAUGGACUAUAAUAAAGUGAAUGAACUUUUGGCGCAGUAUGGAAACGAUGAGUUUUUGUUGUUUGACCUUCUUGAGUUGGCAGAUUGCUGCCAAGCCAAGAGAUUACACCUAAUUUAUGAUAAGAGGGAACAUCCUCGCCAAUCCCUGCUGCAGCACAAUUUAGGUAAUUUUUAGAUAUGUUUUAAUAAAAUUGGAUAUUUAUGUUCAGGUAAAUGUAUAGGCUUUGGUUUCUGUGUAAUUUUGUUUGCUUAUUCUAAACAUUUGAGAAGCUUGUGUUAUUUCUUAUAAAAACCUUUUUUUAGAAUACUUAUUUGAUGUUUGAAGCAUUUGCCCAAUAUCAUUAUAUUAAUAAAUGGAAGAUUUUGAUGUGUCAUCUUAGUGUUGUGCUGUGAUUGGAUGCUGAUGGUGCCUUUGAGGACCAAAUUAUCUUUCUGAAUGGUUGAUAAUUUAAUUGGUGCACUUCCUCUCUCUCUCUUUCAAUGAGGAUGUAUAGAGCUCUGAAUAAAUGUGUUAAGAAUAUUUGUAGAGUUUUUAUUAUUUUGACGAUUCUAUUCAUUUCCUUUUGUUCUGUAUUCUUUUAGAGUAUAUCAUGUUCUUCUUGGUGCAAGGCGGGUAGUGUUAUUCUUUUUUAACCUGGGUAAGGCAUCCAAGGUUGUGGAUAAUGGCUACUGUCUGUGUUGUGUUUGACUGGUGGAUUGACCAUGAUGACCUGCCUAAAUAAUGUUGGGAAUUGAGUCUAAUUGGGUCUUACAGCAGGAACGAAAGCAUUGCUAGACCAGUUUAUUCAGGGGGCCCAAACAGAGAGAACACGUUUUUUUGAGGAGGGCAUGUUUAAGAUUAUGUUAGUCAAGGGCACCAUAUGAGUCUGGCUUCACCUGAGUAGUGAAUAAUUUUGGCUUUCUACAGUGGAGAGAUAAUGGGCUGCUGCCCUCCCAGCCCACCAUGCCUAGUGAGUGAACCUACUUGAACUGUUAAUUUUUUAUAAAGGACGACCAAAGACUUGGUCCAUUGAAUAGGAGGAUAUUUCUUGAUUGAUGUAUCAUGUUGGAUGUUCUUCUAGAGCUCAAGGUGUAUAUUUUCCCUUCUCAUCAAGCAGUUAGGUUGCUGCCUUGUGACGUUAUCGUAACAAGUUCUAGUCCUAGAAACAGCUUCCCUGCUCGGUUGGUUAGGUUGCUAGAGGCUGCUUACCUGACUUUCCCUAGACUAUGGAAUUGUGGAGUUGUGUGCACAGGGACUUAUUUUCUUACUAAGUUUGCGAACAUCAUUGGAUGCCUGUGUUGUCUAGCUUAACUUAUGGAAUACACAUAGUUAGUCUGCAGCUAGGGGUAUUUCAAAGUUAAUGCCGUCUGUUGCGUGUGAAAUUACCAUACUGUGUUUAGCUGUUUUGGAUUACUUUUCUAAAUUUCAGUUAACAUGGUAUGAUUUCUUUAUACAGGUGAAUUCCAAGGGCCUGCCCUUGUAGCAAUCUUUGAAGGUGCCUGCUUGAGUCGAGAGGAAUUUAGUAAUUUCCAGCUCCGUCCUCCAUGGAGAUUGCGUGGCAACACAAUUAACUAUGGUUUGGGAUUGGUUAGCUGCUAUUCCAUAUGUGACCUUCUCUCAGUCAUUUCUAGUGGCUUCUUUUAUAUGUUUGAUCCUCAUGGUUUGGUACUUGGUACACCUUUGACGAAUGCCCCAUCAGCAAAGAUGUUUUCUUUGAUAGGUAUACUGUGUACUCAUCAUCUGAGUUAAUGCAAAAUAAUUAGAUAGUUUCUAAAUUUUUCCAUUUCAUUCCCAUUUUCUAUUUUUCACUUUACUACUACUGAUAACUUUAUGCAAGUGUACUGUGAGUACUUUAGGUUGAUCUCUUGCAGACAUACUUCACUAUGUCAGAUGGUAGGGACUGUUUGACUGGAGAAUUGUAGAGCACAUACUUUGUGUGUGCUUUUAUAUCGAAGUGUUAAAACUUGUAAAGUUGUAUAAGUAGUACAUUAUUAUUAUCCCAAUAACAGAGCCAAGUCAGAACGAAGAAAGUGCAACACUAUGGCGUUAAUUCAUUGAAAUAUUUUCUGUUCUCUUUACCCGUAUGUCAAAUUCAUUGAAGCCCUCAAAUUUUUUUCUUUAUUUUUCUUGCAUAAAUACAGAAGAUGAAAAAUAAUAUUUGUUAAAUUAUUUUUGAUUUUGGAAUUGAAUAAUCACUCACUUGGUUAAUAAUGUUCAAACAGUGGUUAGUGAAUAACUGGUUAUUGUCAUGCUUAAUAGUGGAAUGAUUAAUUGUUCCUAAAUUGGAAAGUAAGUUUCAAAUAUUUCUUUUUUAAGUAUUAUUGUUUGAUCCUUUUUAUGGUAGUUAGUUAAUGGUUACUUAUGAGAGGUACCCUUAUUGUCUAUGCUUCAAGAUUGGAAAGUCUUCUGGUUUCGAUAUCCAAUAUUUAAGCUCAUUUUAAUAUGUAUUUUCAUAGUGUUACUUUUGUACUUUUUCCUUCUGUGGAGUAUUUUUUUUUUAUAAAAUAAAAGAGCCUAACUAUUCUUUUAUUUAAUUUUUUAAUUUUGUAAUCUAAUAGCGAAAUUCCUAUACAAUAUUAGAACAUAACGUUGUUUACUCUUGAGGUUUCAGGUAAUGAUCUGACUCAACGAUUUUGUGAUCAAUUUAGUCCAAUGCUGGUCGACCGGAAUGACUUGUGGUCAUUAGCCGAUUCUACCAUUAUUCGGAUGCCUUUAUCAUCUGACUGCUUGAAGGAUGGACCCGACCUUGGAUCAAACAGAAUAAGGCUUAUUACUGACAUAUUUAUGAAGCAUGGAUCUAGAACACUCCUGUUUUUGAAGUCCGUUUUACAGGUAAAUUUACUACUGUUCAGUUGUAUAUUCAUGCAGCAUGGCAGAACAAAUAGGAUUUAAGAGGUUGAAAUUAGGUUUUAUUUGGGAUUUGGAAUAGAACUUGGGGAAUUGAAUGUUCGCAUGGAAUGUGGGGAAAUGUUGGUUUGAAGGCAUUUGGUUGAGUGGAGGUUUAUGGGAUGUGAGCCACGCAUGCUAGAUUAGGUUUGUGACAAAUUCAAACAAGAAAUUCUGGGGAUUUGGUGUGGUGAAAAUCUAAUGAUUUUUGAGAGGAAAUGGGUUUGGUUUUUUGUGAAACUUAAAAUGUGUGAAAGGGACUAACACUUGAGGGGAAGAUUGUUGAUGUUCAAGUGUGAUUUGGGAGUCUCACAUUGGGUGAAAAUGAGGAAGAUGAACAAAUAUACAGGGUGAAAGUCCCUCAGACCCGUGUCUUAAGAUUUUGGGUGUAGAGUUGUGUCUUGGUGCCAUAUGAGGUUGUCUCAUCAUGGCUCUUUGGUAAAGAUCUCACGACAUUUCCCCUCAAAGAACCCAAACAAUUGGCUGUCUGUGGGCAAAAUGUAGAAGGAGAAAGAAAAGACUUUUACUGGGGGGGAGGUUACAAUGUCUGAAAGGGAUUCACAGUUGAAGGGGAAAAUUGUUGAUGUCUUAAGUGAGUUGGAAGUCUGACACUUAUGUUUAUUGUGCUCAAUAGUCUAUCUUAUUCAUACCAUAUAUUAGAGAUAGGUACUUUAUGUAUUAGUGUUUUUACAUUAUUUUUUGCAUCUCACUGUUAAUUCCUUUAGAUUUUCUGUUACAGAGUUAGUUAGCUAUCAGUUAGUUUGUUAGCUUCUUAUUCAGCAAUGAGUCGUACAGUUCAGAUAUAUAAGGUUGCCCUACCUGUACAUUCUUCUACUGAAACAUUUACAGUUCAAUUUAUCAUUGUUCAGUUUUCUCUCUAAUUCUCUGAAUUCUAUUACUGUAAGUGCAUUAAGUACAGAGCUAACCAAAUAGUAAUUACAUGGCUAAUUAACUGUUUAACUGCAGAUCUGACUACUUUUUUAGGGCAGAAAUAGUCAAGGAGUAAUUAUGAUUCUUGGUGCGUGCAUGUGUCUAUUUAUAUACGAGGAUAGCUUAUAUCAUCUACUAUUAAUAGAAAAUUGUGCAUAGAAAACACCUGUAUACUUAAUAUGUCUUGUUUGUAAUUGAUACCACAUGAGAGGACUCUUGUUUGGAACAUUUUAAUAAUUCUAUUGAUCCAGAGUGAAAUUGCAUUCCUUAUAGGUAUCCAUAUCAACAUGGGAAGAAGGAAAUCCCAAUCCAAGCCAGAAUUUUUCAAUAAGCAUUGACCCAUCAUCUUCUAUUUUGAGGAAUCCAUUUUCUGAAAAGAAAUGGAGAAAGUUUCAAUUAUCCAGAAUAUUUAGCAGCUCCAAUGCGAUGAUAAAGAUGCAUGUAAUUGAUGUGGAUUUAUAUUCAGAAGGAACUACAGUCAUUGAUAGAUGGCUUGUUGCACUCAGCCUGGGUUCUGGACAAACCAGAAAUAUGGCUCUUGAUCGGUAUGAUUUUAUUUGAAUAUUAUAAUGGAUAUCAUGUGGUGUUUAUGCUCAAAUUGCAAGGAUGUCAAAAACUAAUGUUGAAACUUGGUUUUCAACAACACACAAUGUCAUUGUUUAAUCUGUGUCAAUGCUUUGCAAGAACUGGGUUGUCAUUUUCCUUUUAUUAACUUGAAAACCUUUUACAUAUCGAUGGCUCAGAUUGAGGAUGCAUCUAGCUCUUUCUCUAAAAUAUAAAAUAGCCAUUAAUAAGAAAACAAAGAGAAGUUUAUGAAUGUGGAAGUUAUUUUCCAUGGUUUGUUUAUUUCUUGGAAAAAAAUUCCUUGGCUUUGCACAUUGCUUCUUUGUCUUGAUCAUAAGCAAGGGUGCAUUCAUACUGCAGCCUUUUCAUUCUUUAUUCCUCUUUUUCAAUUAGAGUUGGGUAGGACAGUAAACAAGUCUUAAUUUAUCUUGAAACUGAAUCAAGAGUAAUGAUAAUUGAAGUUUUAUGUUCCAUAUAUUAUGUUUAUCUCAUGAAAGUUCUGUUUUGUUUGGUAAUAUCUAUCAAAAUUCCAUUUUUUUCUGCUCAGGCGGUAUCUUGCAUACAACUUGACUCCUGUUGCUGGAAUAGCAGCACUUGUAUCCAGCAAUGGUCAUCAUGCCAAUGUUUACUCAAGGAGCUCAAUUAUGGCCCCUCUUCCUUUGUCUGGUUGUAUAAACAUGCCUGUCACUGUCAUAGGUUGUUUCCUUGUUUGUCACAAUAGGGGUCGUUUUCUCUUUAAAUACCAAGACAGAGGGGCUUCCACUGAGGGACACUUUGAUGCUGGAAAUCAAUUAAUUGAAUCUUGGAACAGAGAGGUGAUGUCCUGUGUAUGUGAUUCCUACGUUGAAAUGGUUUUGGAGAUUCAGAAGCUAAGACGAGAUAUUCCAAGUUCAUUAUUUGAUUCUAGUGCCUAUUCUGCAAUAAGUCUCUCUUUGAAGGCUUAUAGAGAUCAAAUCUACUACUUCUGGCCACGAUCUUGUGAGAGUCAAGUUCUGAUUGAUCAGCAUGCUAAUCUCGAUAACAACCCUCCAAGUCCAACAACAGUUGUUCUUAAGGCUGACUGGGAAUGCCUUAAAGAUCAGGUAAUACGUCCAUUUUAUUCUCGUAUUAUUGACCUUCCAGUAUGGCAGCUGUACUCAGGAAAUUUGGUCAAGGCUGAAGAAGGCAUGUUUCUUUCACAGCCAGGGAAUGGGUUGGUUGGUAAUUUGCUUCCAGCUACAGUUUGCAGCUUUGUAAAAGAGCAUUAUCCUGUAUUUUCAGUACCAUGGGAAUUGGUGACUGAAAUCCAAGCUGUGGGUUUUUCAGUGCGAGAAAUUAGACCUAAAAUGGUUAGGGAUCUCCUAAAAGUUUCUUCAAAACCAUUUGCUCUGCGAUCAGUUGACAUGUAUAUAGAUGUUCUCGAAUAUUGCUUGUCUGAUUUUCAGCAAACAGAGUCAUCCAGCUCAGCCAGAGAUAAUGAUUCCGCUACUGCCUGUGCUUUUUCUCGAGAAACUGAUAUCCACAGAAUCACUUCUUCUCAGCAUGGGUAUAAUAUUCAAGGAUCCACUACUCGGGGAGAAGCCAGUUCUGGAGAUGCAUUGGAAAUGGUGACAAGUUUAGGGAAGGCUUUAUUUGAUUUUGGUCGGGGUGUUGUUGAAGAUAUUGGUAGAUCAGGAGCACCUGGGGCUUACAGUAAUGCUAUGACUUCCAUUCAUCAAAAUAGGGACCCGAAGUUCAUAUUGAUUGCUUCAGAACUCAAAGGCUUACCAUUUCCGACUGGAACUGGCCAUUUAAAAAAAUUGGGCUUUACUGAACUUUGGAUUGGGAAUAAAGAGCAACAGUCGUUAAUGCUUCCCUUGGGAGAAAAAUUUAUUCAUCCUAAAGUAAUAGACAGGCCUCUCUUAGGUGGUAUUUUUUCUAAUUUUUCACUUCAGUCACUACUGAAAAUGCGGGGCUUCUCCCUUAAUCUACUGGCCAAUCAUAUGAAACUAAUUUUCCAUGAAGAUUGGGUGAACCAUGUAAUGGGAUCAAAUAUGGCUCCAUGGCUUUCUUGGGAGAAAAUACCUAGUUCUGGAAGUCAAGGGGGUCCUUCUCCUGAAUGGCUAAGAAUAUUUUGGAAAUGUUUUAAGGGCUCACAACAAGAAUUAAACCUUUUCUCUGAUUGGCCCCUAAUUCCUGCAUUUCUUGGUAGGCCAGUCUUGUGCCGUGUAAGAGAGCGGCAUAUGAUAUUCGUUCCUCCUCUUUUGGAGCACUCAAAUUCAACAAGUGGUAUUUCGGAAAGAGAAUCUGCUGAAAGUUAUGUGAGUGGGGUUAGGGUGACAAGGGAUAAUACUUCUGAAACUGACUUAGUUAAGUCCUACAUUUCAGCUUUUGAAAGAUUCAAAACCAGUUAUCCCUGGUUGUUGCCAAUGUUAAACCAGUGUAACAUACCCAUAUUUGAUGAGGCAUUUAUUGAUUGUUCUGCUUCAAGCAAUUGUUUUUCUAUCUCUGGUCAAUCACUUGGCCAUGUCAUUGCAUCCAAACUUGUGGAAGCUAAGCUAGCUGGGUAUUUCACCGAACCAACUAAUCUCUCACCUUCAAAUUGCGAUGCACUUUUUUCACUUUUUUCUGAUGAAUUCUUCUCCAAUGACUUUCACUAUAACCCCGAAGAAAUUGAAGCUUUGCGUUCUCUCCCAAUAUAUAAAACAGUUGUUGGUUCUUAUACUAAGUUGCAAGGUCAAGAUCAGUGUAUUAUCCCUUCAAAUUCAUUUUUAAAACCAUAUGAUGAGCAUUGUCUUUCUUGUGCCACUGAUUCAAAUGAAAGUUCAUUUCUUCUAGCCCUCGGAGUGCUGGAGUUGCAUGAUCAACAGAUCUUAUUACGCUUUGGCUUGCCUGGCUUUGAGAGAAAAUCUCAGAAUGAGCAGGAGGAAAUAUUAAUACAUGUUUUUAAAAAUUGGCAUGAUCUUCAAUCAGAUCAAUUAGUGGUUGAAGCUUUGAAAGAAACUAAAUUUGUUAGAAAUUCGGAUGAGUUUUCAACAGACCUGUUGAAGCCCAUGGAUUUAUUUGAUCCUGGUGAUGCUAUCUUAAUAUCUAUAUUCUUUGGUGAGAGAAGAAAAUUUCCUGGAGAAAGGUUCAGUACAGAUGGGUGGCUUCGAAUACUAAGGAAACUUGGGCUUCGGACUGCUACAGAGGUAGAAGUAAUAAUUGAAUGUGCCAAAAGAGUUGAGUUUCUUGGAAUUGAGUGCAUGAAAUCAGGUGUUUUGGAUGAUUUUGAGACAGACAUAAUCAACAGUCAUUCUGAAGUUUCGCCAGAAGUGUGGGCAUUAGGAGGAUCUGUAGUUGAGUUUGUUUUUUCCAACUUUGCUCUUUUCUUUAGCAACAACUUCUGUGAUCUUCUUGGCAAGAUUGCCUGUGUUCCUGCUGAACUGGGGUUUCCGGGUGCUGGUUGCAAGAGGGUGCUUGCUUCAUAUAAUGAAGCUAUUUUGUCUAAAGAUUGGCCUCUGGCUUGGAGUUGUGCUCCCAUUCUAUCCAAACAACACACUGUUCCUCCAGAGUACUCAUGGGGACCUCUGCAUCUACGGAGUCCUCCUGCUUUUUGUACAGUUUUGAAGCACUUGCAAGUAAAAACAAUACUUUUGGUUUACAUUUUAUAUUUACAUUACUUACAUCCAUGUAUUUUAUGCUAGCUCUCUUUUUCCCUAGGUAAUUGGGAGAAAUGGAGGGGAAGAUACUCUUGCUCAUUGGCCCAUUGCUUCAGGAAUAAUGAACAUUGAGGAAUGUACCUGCGAGAUUUUGAAAUAUUUAGACAAAAUUUGGGGUUCACUUUCUUCCUCAGGUGCUUCACUAUUCUCAUGUUAUUCCAUUUGGGCUAAGGGUUGAGUAGAAAGGGUGUGGCUUAUAUAUUUUUGGUAUUUGUCUCUGAUUCUCCUGAAACGAUAGGUCUGUCAAUGCACCUAAGAUAUUAACACAAUUACUAGACAUGACCAACUGGCUAAUCACAUUUCUGUGAACCUCUAAUUCUUCUCUGUUAUGUUGAUUAAGCAGGUUUGCUUAGGUUGUUGUUACAUUGAAUUUCUAAUUACUUAUGCUAUUUCAGAUGUGGCAGAGCUACGUAAAGUGGCAUUUCUGCCCGUUGCAAAUGGAACACGCCUUGUGACGGCCGAUGCUCUUUUUGCUCGUUUGAUGAUUAAUUUGUCUCCAUUUGCUUUUGAGCUUCCUACUGUAUAUCUCCCAUUUGUAAAGACUCUUAAAGAUUUGGGACUCCAGGACAUGUUAACACUUUCUGCUGCAAAGGGUCUUCUAUUACAUCUUCAGAAAGCUUGUGGAUAUCAGCGACUAAAUCCCAAUGAGCUCCGUGCAGUGAUGGAAGUUUUGAAUUUCAUUUGCGAUCAAAUUGUCGAGGGGAACACAUUAGAUGGGUCAAACUGGAAAUCAGAAGCCAUAGUUCCGGAUGAUGGCUGCAGACUUGUUCAUUCAGGAUCCUGUGUCUAUGUUGAUUCUUAUGGUUCUCGAUAUGUCAAAUGUAUUGAUACUUCCAGAAUUAGAUUUGUCCAUGCAGAUCUUCCUGAGAGAGUAUGUAUCAUGCUCGGCAUCAAAAAAUUGUCUGACAUUGUCAUAGAGGUAGCAAGAUUUCAGGAGCAUUUUCCUAUUUAUUGUUAUCUAACUUUUGUCUGCAUUAGGCUUUUACUUACUGGAAUUUUUCUGUUUGGUUUACAGGAACUAGAUGAGAGUCACGCACUACAGACUUUGGGUUCUCUGGGGUCUGUUUUAUUGGUGACCCUCAAACAGAAGUUAUCAAGCAAGUCUCUUCAAACUGCUGUCUGGACCAUUAUUAAAAGCAUGGGCAGCUACAUUCCUGCAUUCAAUAGCUUUUCAUUGGAUACAAUAGAAGGCUUAUUGAACUCUACUGCACAAAAGAUGCAAUUUGUUAAGUGUCUUAAGACAAAAUUUCUGCUAUUGCCCAAUUUAGUAGAUGUUACACGUGCAGGCAAAGAUUUCACCAUCCCUGAGUGGAAGAAUGAUUCUGCUCGUCAAACUCUUUAUUUUUUGAACCAAUCAAGAUCCUGUAUUCUAGUUGCUGAACCACCCACUUAUAUUUCCCUUUUUGAUCUCAUUGCUAUUAUAGUCAGUCAGGUAUUAGGCUCUCCAAUCAUAUUGCCUGUUGGGCCCUUAUUUGGUUGUCCUGAAGGAUCUGAGAUUGCAGUUGUUAAUGUUUUAAAACUCUGCCCUGAUAAGAAAGAAGUUGAACCCAUAAAUGGGAGCAGCAAUAUGGUUGGCAAGGAAAUAUUGCCACAGGAUGCACGUCUUGUGCAGUUCCAUCCAUUGAGACCCUUUUAUUCUGGUGAAAUAGUAGCUUGGCGGUCUCAACAAGGUGAAAAGCUGAAAUAUGGUAGGGUUUGGGAAGAUGUAAGACCAUCUGCAGGUCAAGCUCUCUACAGAAUUAAAAUUGAAGUUGCGCAGGGGGAUACACAAUUUUUCCUUUCAUCACAAGUAUUUUCAUUUAAAAGUGUCUCAGCUAGCAGUCCUCUAAAGGAAACAAUUGUGCAUGAUAGCCCUUUAUUAAGUAGUAACAUGCCCAAUGUUGAUUUCCCAGAGAGCUCAGAAAGGGGAGAAAACUACUCUCAGGUUUAUCCCUUGGAACUUGUCCCUAAUUAUUAGUACCAUGUACCAUAAAUUUGCAUUUAUUACAUGCAUUGCAAUUCGUGACCCAUCAUCCUGUGCUUUCCAUUGACACAUGAAUAAUAUGUGUCUGCAAGAUAUUUUUGGACCUGUUAAGGUUGGGAUGAAACCAAAAGCUUGUAAUUAAGAAAAUUUUUCUUGUUUAGUUUGUGGCUAAGGCCACCGAAUAAAGAAGCAUCUAAUCCUUUUCAAUUACUAGAUAUUAUGCUCAAUGCAAAUUUCUUAACCGUUACAUAUCUUGUUACAUUUAAAAAAAAGCAUUCUGUCGGUUCAUUUUGUAUUGCUUGCAUGUCAAUUUUCUUAAAUGAAUGAGAAGUCUCUUCGUGUGAAUAGGUGCAGCCUGUAAGAGAGCAGUCUGGCAAGGUUUCAGCUGCAGAAUUGGUGCAGGCAGUCAAUGAAAUACUCUCUGCUGCUGGGAUCAAAAUGGAGGUGGAGAAGCAAUCUCUACUUCAAAGAACAAUAAAUUUGCAAGAAAAUCUAAGAGAGUCUCAGGCAGCUCUUGUGUUAGAGCAGGUUGGUGAUUUUAACUUUUAGUACUAUGAUUUCAUAGCGUCGUGUCAUACCAUUAUUAAUAUUUUUCUUUCUGAAUGGUAGUUUGCCAUGUGGGCAUUCUAAUUUCACAAUCAUUUGAAAACCUGUUUAUGGUUUGUUUGAGUGUGUCAUAUACAAACCCGUUGUUAGUUUUGACGCAUCAAACUUGAAAAUUUUGACAUCUUAAACAUAGGUUUCUUGUUGGAAAGUUGGAUAUCCAUUUACGAAAUAUGCCUCCUUAAACUAAUCUACCAACGAUUUUACUACAUAUAUAUUGACUCAGUCAGAUAUUACAAGGGAGAAAGCGUAUCGAUUUGUAAUGAAAAUUGUAUCUGUACUACAUUACAGUUGUAUAAGCUUUGGGCAAUAGUUUUAUUUUUGUACCGUAGGACACAGUAAAGAUUGAAUUAAAGCAAGUACCUUAAUGCUUUAUAAUGCAUAAGUUCAUCUGUCUUAUAAGUUUGAAAUAACAUGCUACAUCAUUAUACUUUGUACAGGAAAAGGUUGAAAAGGCAACAAAAGAAGCUGAUACAGCAAAAGCAGCAUGGAUAUGCAGGGUUUGUCUGAGUUCUGAGGUUGAUAUAACAAUAGUUCCUUGUGGUCAUGUAUUGUGUCGUAGAUGCUCUUCUGCAGUGUCCAGGUGUCCUUUUUGCCGGCUUCAGGUUACAAAAGCUAUCAGAAUUUUUCGUCCAUAAUUUCUCCAAUGCUCAGAGUUCCAUUCGCCAAUUAUUAGUGUUUGCAAAGAUAAAUCGGUUGCAUUGGACACUGACGUGAAUAUCAUCUUUUCUGAUUGAGCCCUAAAAUUGGGUAUUGUUGAUUUUUUCAUGUAUAUAUUGGCCGCAAUGAAAAAUGGUUUUGUCACUGUACCUUUCAAUAUUUUCACAUUUUUUUUACCACUAAAUCCCUCAAAUGAUUGGUGAAAAAGUAUUAAGGCUUUUUACCCACGCAUCUUCAUAAUUUCUUCCUCACAGUAAAAUAAAACAAAAAAUGACCUUUUAAAAUUCUAAAACUUCCCGAAAAUUUUUAGAAAUUUUUACGUGAAAUGUAAUAAAAUACUUACAGGGGAAUCUGGUUUUAGGGUUUCUCCCACUCAUAACAAUAAUAUUAAUAAUUUUACUAAUAAUAAUAAGAAUAAUAAUAGUAAUAAUUUUUUUAGUAAGAAUAAUAUUCAAUAAUAAUAAUAACAUUAAUAAUAAUAAUAAAAUAAUAAGAAUCAUCAUGGUAUAAUCACUAACUAAAUUGAGGUUGCAUAUUCUCUCAUCUAUUGAUGAUCGUUCAAAUCUUUUCUAUUGCAAAAUAUUAAUAUUGACUUUAAUAACUUUAAUAAUAACAAUAAUAUAUAAUAAAAGUUAAUAAAAUAUAUAAUAAUGAAUAAUAAUAAUAAUGUAAAUUUCUUAUUUGAAGAAAGCAACAAAAAGAUGUAACAGAAACAAAAAAUUAAAAAGGAAGAAGGCACAGAGAAGCACCACUGUCCACUAACUCACUCCUUCACACUCUUCUUCCCCCAACUCAACAAUCACCUCAGCGAUUACUCACACUUCUCCGCCAUCUCCAAAGUUUUCUUCCAGAGCUUCUCUCGCGUCUAGCACACGCGCACAGUCAAAGCCCCACGCACCGUCGCACGCCGUCGUCUCUCUCUGUCUCCUCCUCCUCUGGAUCCUAAUUUGACCUUUGGUAAUUAAUACUUUAAUUUUACCUCAUAUUUCUUGGUUAGCAGUGAAAUGACCUGCACGUGCACCACACGUGACCACUCUUUGCAUUAUUCACCACCACUGCAAGCAAAACAUCCACAUGGCUUUCAACCUCUUCUUCCUCUCCAGAUUCCGUCGUAUACACACGCAGACGGCGUCGUUUUCAAAGCCGAAGCUCGACGACGACGUCGUUGCGGCACUGUGUAAUUCCUUCAGAGAGCGACGCCACUGGGACUCCAUAACUCGCCAGUUCCGUUCCCUCCACUUAAACGACGCGUCGGUUCAACACCUUCUUCUGCAAUUCAAUUCCCCCUCCGACGCAAAACCAGCAUUGGGCUUCUUCCAUUGGGCCGCGUCUCGGCCCAACUCCACCUUCCAGCCCACCACUCGCUCCUACACAAUCACCAUCAACCUCUUAUUAAGAGCCAACUUACUCACCCACGCGCGCGCUCUUCUUCGCUCUCUCACCAAAACCAACACUCACUCACAUGCAGUUCCCGCACUCGUCGAUUCUCUUCUCGACGUCGUCGUUUCACCCUCUAGCGCCCUCGCCGUCAACCUUCUCAUCCAAGCCUACGCCAAAGCCAGGCUAACGGACAUCGCGUUUCACGUUUGCCGUUACGCGGAGGAGCGCGGAGUCUCCGCCACCGUCGUCAGUUUCAACGCCCUGCUUCACGCGGCUCAGAGGUCUGAGAAAUGUUUUCUCGUUUGGGAGGUUUACGAGUUCAUGAUCCGGAGAAGGAUUUACCCUAAUUCGACGAGUUUGCGGAUUAUGGUUGAUGCGUUGUGCAAGGAAGGUGAGUUGCAGGAGAUUGUCGAUACGCUGGAUCGAAUUAUGCGGAAGAGUACUUUCCGUUCUCCUUCUAUGAUCGUGAAUUGUAGUUUGAUGAUGAGGAUUUUGGAGAGGGGACGCGUGGCGGAAUCGGAGUGUGAUGUCGUGGUUUUGUUGAAGAGGCUGUUGCAGAAGAGUUUGCUUCACGAGACCGUUGUGUGGUCUCUUGUGUUGCAUACGAAGGUCGUGUUGGGGGAUUUGGAUUCCGCGUGGGGGGUGUAUAGGGAGAUGGUGGGGAGAGGGUUUGAGUCGAACGCGUUUGUUUACACGUCGUUUGUUGGAGCGUUUUGCAGAGAUGGGAGAGUCGAGGAGGCUAUUGGUUUGGUGCGUGAAAUGGAGGGGAAGGGGCUGAGGCCGUACGGUGAGACGUUUGAGCACGUUGUUGUUGCGGCGGAUUCGGAAGAGAGUGUGCGGGUUUUUGAUGAGAUGGUGAGGGUUGGGUUUGUGCCUAGUUGUGUGGUGUUUAAUAAGGUGGUGGAGAGGCUGUGUGAAAAGGGUGAAGUGCAGAAAGCGAAUGGAAUGUUGAGUGUGUUGAUGGAUAAAGGGUUUUUGCCGGAUGAUGUUACUUAUUCUCUUUUGAUGCAGGGUUAUGCAGGAAAGGAGGAGGUUCAGGAGGUUUUGAAGUUGUAUUAUGAAAUGGAGUACAAACGUAUGAGUCCUGGGUUGUCAGUUUUCGUGACGGUUGUUCGGUGUUUGUGUCACUGUGGAAAGGUUGAAGAUGCAGAGAGGUAUUUGAGGGUGAUGAGAGAACGGUUGGUGGCUGUGGAUGUGAGUGUGUAUGAGGAGUUGAUUGAUGGCUACAUCAAAAAGGGGAAUACUGCGAGGGCUCUUUACCUUCGCGAGGAAAUGGCUUCUUUGGAGUUGUAAUGUGGCAAUGUUAGGGUCUUUGGACACGUUGAGUAUGUGAUAGAAGAAGCAAUACUUAAAGCAUGCUUUUGGACAACUUGAUUGCCUACUGGGUCCGUAUUUGGUUUGGCUGAAGGAUCAGAGAUUGCAAUUGUUAAUGUUUUAAAACAUUGCUCUGAUAAGCAAGAAAUUGAGCCCAUAAACGGAUAUGGUUGCAAGGCGCACCUCUUGUGCAGUUCCAUCCAUUAUUCUGGUGAAAUAGUAGCUUGGAAGUCUCAAAAUUGAUCGGAACAUUCCUCCCAGUAUAUUGAGCAGACUCUCUGGUAUUGCGAUGUCCUCAAAAACCAAUGCCAUUUUUGUUGUAUUCACUAUUUUGCUCAGCUAUUCCCUGCAUUUAUGCCAUGUUUUAAAAAAAUGGGAUAUUUCUGUUAAGGUAAAUGUGUAGGCUUUUGUCUCAACAGAACGACUGUUAAUGUGGUUGAUGCUUCAUGUAAUUUUGUUUGCUUAUUCUAAGCAUUUGAGAAGCUUGUGUUAUUUCUUAUAAAAACCCUGUUUUAGAAUGCUUAUUUGAUGUUUGAAGCAUUUGUCCAAUAUCAUAAUAUUAAUAAAUGGAAGAUUUUGUGAUGUGUCAUCUUAGUGUUGUGCUGUGAUUGGAUGCUGAUGGUGCCUUUGAGGACCAAAUUAUCUUUCUGAAUGGUUGAUAUUUUAAUUGUUGCACUUCCUCGAUUGCAGGUUGUUGAUACCUGUGUGUUAUUGCGAAAACUCUCUGGGAAUAUUCUCUACACAUUUGAAGGUCAUUGAAGAAGCCAAAGUAUGGCACACUGACUAAUGUCGCACCCUAUCACCGUAGAGGUCCACGAGGAAGAUAAGUUAGAUGAUAUAAUUGCCCAUAACCUUAUCAAUCACUCAUCUAUGAAUAUAAACUUAAUCAAAUGUUGUUUUAUUAAAAUAUAUGCUUCUAUUAGAAUUUACAUAUUUAAUUAAUCAUUAUAUUUAAAAUUAAUUUCAUUUCUAUAACUUCAAUUUUAUAAAUAUGUAAAUUUUCACUUUAAAUAUUUUUGUUUUUGUUUUUCUUAAGAUGAACCAUUUGACCAAAAAGUUGCAUCUCAUUUUACAUAUAUCUCAUCUAGAAUUAUUUGGCGGCGUCAUGAGAUACGUGGAUUUAUUCAUUUUGACAAGUAUAGCUAUGUCCAAAAUGAAAAAGUAUUUAAUAAUUUAACAAAGUAUAGAUAAUUAUCUUUUAUAAAACUCAACAUAUUAUAAAUCAAAAUUCCAAAAUUCAAAAUUGUGGAUUAUAAAUGAUUAGAAAUUAAAAGCCUAAAGAAAAACAAAUUAGAGAUUCUUUAAAAUAUAACAUAAAGGAAAAUUAAAAGUAUACCCUGAUUUUUAAGUGUUAUAUAUAUAUAUAUAUAUAUAUAUAUAUAUAUAUAUAUAUAAAACAUAUAACUUUAUUUUGGGAAAAAUGGUUUUUAAAGAGCAGCCAAUUUUGUUGACUUAAUAGUUUAAUUCAUACGUAAAGGAUAGAUACUUUUAACAUAAUUAAAUAUAUCUUUAAGAUUACAUUUUGUUUAAGUUUCAAUGAAAGUUAUUUAUUUCAACUCAUAAAAUUAUAAAAAUAUAUACUUCCAAUUAUUACUAAUUGUAAGAUAACAUUAUUUUCUGAAAUAUAAGAUUAAAAAUGAAUAAAAAUUUCCUUGGAUAGGUAGGAAGAAAAAUGAAUAAAAAUUAAGAUCUUGUUAAUAAAUGCCUUUAGAAUAUUGGUUAAAUAAUUAAAAGGAAUUAAAAAAAAUGAUAGCAUAAUAAAAAAUUAAAAAAAGAUACAUUUUUACAUGUCAAAACUAUUCUUUUUCCUCUCUUAAUUAGUGUUUCAAUAGAUUUUUUUAGUAUUUGUAGGUUGACAAAUGUUCUAAUGAUACUGGUUAAGAAAAAUCAAAACCCCCAAAAUUUCUUUAUUCUUUCAAGAAGAAAUAUGCUUGCUCCCUUUAAUGCAUUGCCAACUUAUCACUUUAUGUUUAUUAUAAAAAGUUUUCUUUUUUCUAAACACUAUUAGUACCCUCUUGUCUAAAUAAUACAUACUUAAAUCUACAAAAUAUCACUUUUUAUAAAAUUAUUGAAUAAUAAAAAACAAAUAAUUUAAUUACAAAAACACUGACUUACUGAAUAUUUAAAGUACCAAAAAUGGACCAAUUAAAAGUGGUAAACACCUACCCAAAGAGAAGUCAUACUUUGAUAGCAGCCUCAUGCACGUGCCUUUUCAUCCCACCAACCGACUAAUUAUAUUAAAUUUGGCACAAAAAUAAUUUUAAUAUGCCCUUUUACCUUUUUUAGCUUUUAGUUAAAUUAAAUAUAAGAAUAAAGUUCAUAUUUUAAUUAGCUGUUAAUAUUUUUAAAAUAUUUUUUUAACAAGUUAGAGCCUUACUUUUAUGUUAUAUUAACAUAAUAAAACAGUUUUAUGAAAUUUGAUUUUGAACUUAUAUUCCAAUAAUGAAGAUCAUGACGUGGCUAUAUAAACAUGACAAAACUAAACAAAGCACACAACAACUAAACACUUGUGAAAAUGAGUUCUAACUCCAAAGACAGUGAAGUUUCCUUAGAAGUAGAAAAGUUGGAUGAUUCAUACCGUUCUGCUGUGUUGCUUUGUUUCAGCAAUGUUCUUCCUGCAGUUCUAAACGCUGCCAUAGACAUGAAUUUGUUUGAUGUCAUAGCAAAGGCAAAGAGUUCUUGUGAUGAUCAUUCAAGUUUCUCUGCCUCUGAAAUCGCCUCUUUGCUUCCAAAUCAGCACCCACAAUUGGCUAAUAGGCUUCAAAGAAUGCUGCCAUUGUUGGUCAGUUACUCUCUUCUGCAUUGCUCCAUUCGCACCAAUGAAGAUGGUAAGAAAGAAAGAGUUUAUGCUCUCUCACCAGUUGGAGAAUACUUUGCUUAUGAUGAUGAAGGAAUCUCUAUGGCUCCACUCUCAACCUUACUUCAUCGUGGAUUUCAUGACCUUUGGUAAUUACUACUUUCAUUUUACCUCAAAUUUCUUGGUUUAGUUUUGAUUUAAUCUCUAAAUUGAUGAAAAUCCAACAAUUGAGUUGUGUUGUUUAAGGAUUCGUUUUACAUUAGAAUUAUUCUAUGCUCAAUUUGAUAUUAAGAUACAAAGUUCACAUGCUAGUUUGUCAUUAAGUGGUGCACCAUGAAGUACUUAUCUGUGUAACUAAGUUCUGCUAUAAAAAAUAUGUGCAUAAGAUUUAAAGAAGAGUGUUGAGCUAAAGGAAAACAAUGAAACAAGAAGAAAUGAGUAAUUAAGUUAAUCCUUUUCUGAGUGGUAGAAGUCAUGGACUUUAAUAUGCUUCUUAUGUCAUUUGUGCUCUUAUUAGGAAGGAUGCAAAAGGUGCAUUUAUGGACCCAAAUUGCAGUAAUCAUUUCGAAAGUGUCUAUGGAAUGCCAUCAUAUCAAUAUAUGGAGAAAGAUACAGAGUUGAAUGAAAUGUUUUUCAAAGCAAUGGCUCAUGCUGGUCCAAUAGAAGUGAAAAAGGUACUCAAAGUAUACAAAGGAUUUGAGGGGUUGUCUACUCUGGUUGAUGUAGGAGGUGGAGUAGGGCAGACCUUGAAACUCAUUCUCUCUGCAUACCCUUCAAUUAAAGGAGUUAACUUUGAUUUGCCUCAGACAAUUCAAGAUGCACCUCCUCAUCCAGGUACAUAUAUGCUAUUCUAUUCUAUGUGAUAUAGAGAUUUAUAUAAUUAUAAAUUACAUAUAAAGAUUUAUGUGCACGUUUCAGUUUUUUUUAAUAGAAAAAUGUUUCACAUGAUUUGUUUAAAAUGAUUUGUUCCUUAUUUUUUAUAAUCAUAUUAAAAAUUUAUAUAAUAAGUUUAAAAUUUUAGAGAAUUAAUGUAUUUCUUCUUUUUUAAAUUGUGUUAGAACCAUGUUAGAAUUGUCAGAAAUUCAACAUAUAUAUUUU
Molecule: long non-coding RNA, 51381 nt
Filed under: Phaseolus vulgaris (common bean)
Lineage: Eukaryota; Viridiplantae; Streptophyta; Magnoliopsida; Fabales; Fabaceae
Description: long non-coding RNA (PVUL_LNC003741)
Source: RNAcentral